CCUCUUAGCUGCAUCGUUUCUAUUGGGGAAUAUGAAUGCAGAUAAUGUAAAUUAUGGUCUUCAGGUGUGUAAGAUCACUUUCUUUAAGGUGAUAUUUGCCUCCAUUCAAAUGUAUCUGCCGGAUUACCAGCAAAUCAUCUUCAAGAUACAACAAGACUGCCGAAUGACUGUAAAUAGCACUUUUGAAUAUUUUCCCUCAAGAAUUUCUUUCUUAAAAAUCAGUAUGAAAAAUUAGGAAGGAGAAAGAAUUGAUAAUAUUACCCUUGAAUCCUUCAGACAUCUUCUAUUUAUAGAAGAUGAAUGGUUACUAUGAAAGGACACAACUUUUACGGCGCGUUUGGUUCGCACUAUGAAGAUUACUAGGAAUAAACAGAUGUCCGAGAAUCUUAUUCAUAUUCAUCCUAUUACUAAGAAUGUGUCAUUCUUGUGUUUGGUUCGCACGGUUAUAUUAUUUAGUCAUGUUAUUUAAGAUUACAAAAAAAAUAUACAGUUAAAUUUUUUUUUUAAUUAAUUUUAGAUAAUGCUACCAAAAAUUUUAACAUUUUUUUAGAAAAAAAGAGAGAACAUAGGUUAGAGAGAGAGAGAGCAUAAUUAAAUAAAUAGGAAGAGAAAUAGAGUCGAGGUUAGAGGGAGUGAGAGAGUUGAGAUUUUAGAAAAAGAGAGGGAGAGAGAGUUUAGUUUAGAGAGAAAAAAAGAGUUGAAGUUUAGAGAGAAAAGGAUAAGUUUAGAGAGAGAUAUGAGGUUAGAGUGUAAAGGAAAUAAUACCAACUAGUUGGCGGGUAAGAAGAAAGAAAGAGAUUAGACAUAUUAUAUGGAGAAAGAAAGAGAUUAGACAUAUUAUAUGAUAACUCCAAUCCAUUAAUAUGAGGAUACCCACCAUCCCUUGAAGGAAUGAGAUUAGUACUUUGGGAUGAAUCUCAUUCCCAAGUAAAUACAAUAUUACCAACUAGAUUACUUAGUAUGCUUAGCCAAACACCGUCAUAUUUUUUUAUUCCUAUUGGAUUACUAGGAAUCUUAUGAAAGUUUUGAGGAGCCCAAAGGGAAUGUUGAUGUUCAGUCCAGAAGCUUCCCUCGGGUGACCAAGCAGAAACAGUAGAAGCAAACGAUCCCAACGAAUUCUCUUUGUUCCAAUCGUUGGUUGCACAUUGUAGCUCAAGACCAAGGAUAAUAGAUGGUACUCGGGUCGCAGAUCCUUAGACUCUACAUAAGCUCGAUUCGUUUGCACUCCAGCUCUGCAGAUAGCUGCUACAAUGGUAUCCCAGUGAGAUGAUGACUGAAAUCCUCCCGAUGUAUAGAGAAGACCCGUAGUGUCCACAGUCAUCCCCAAGAGCUCUCCAAUAGUGUAUGGGGUAACGAUGACCCUCUGCUGUCGGACUACUAUCUCAAAAAGAUAAGUCCCGGUCUCCUCGUCUUCUGCAAGUACCUGCCCGUUCAUAUAGAACUCGCGAAUGAGUUCCACACAGAAAGGAGCCCGAGCAGGAACCCUUCCAACUGGCUCAAUAGGAACCCGCUGAAGUAGUCGUCCAAAGUCAGGAACGUCAUGUAUAAGAUCAGUGAAGUUGACAAAACGCUCAGCAAUACACGACUUGUUCAUAAACAUCCUCCGCCGCUCUGGGGGAAUAUCCGCGGCAUGCUUCGAUUGAGUUUCUCUAGCACGAGAACCACCGCCACGUGAGGAUUCACCAGCUAUUCCUUUGCCCUUGUCAAGAUGAGCAAUAGGUUCCUCAGCCUCUUCAGGGGAGCUAGCCUCAUAAUCUGGAUCAGAUCCGGAUGCCUCUUCCGUUGUACGUGACCGCUUAGAAGCCCCUCGACGACCUCUGCCACCACCUCGGCUCCGUCUUGCAGCCAUUAGCACCAAAUCAACAACACAAGCGAAAAUGCCAUUGUUCCUAUACAAAAAUUAACCGUGCAUGAACAAAAUUUUGAAAAAAUCUGUAAAAAUAACGAAAAAAUUUCUAAUAACAUUAGAAUGCAUACAAAUGCUAUUUCUAACCAGAUCAUGCAAAAAAUUUCCAUCAAAAAUGAUAUUUUACAAAAAAUCCCGAAAUUACAUGAAAAAUGAAGCUUAGAAUAUAGAUCAGUGAAAAAUAAUGUGUUUUGAUGUGAUUCAAGUGUUCUAGGAGCAAGAUAAUGUCCUUAAGCACUGAUCUACAGCAAAAAAUUGCAUAAAAAACGAUCAAAAACAGAGAUCUAUGCAUGAACUCGAAAUAUUUCGAAAAAUAAACAUGAACGCGAUGAAACGAUUAAAUCCAAGCUAAAUACUCACAAAUUUCAGAGGGAAAUCGUGUAGAUAUGCAAGAGGAAGGCACCAGAGAUUUUUAGAGAGAGAAAGAACGAAUUUUGGUUUUGAUUUGAGAGAGAAAUAAACCCUAUAUCUGGUUAUAUAAGUCGCGGCUACAGUACGCGUACCGGUACGGGAUCGUGUACCGGUACACGAUCUCAAAUUUCGAAAAUUUGAUUUGAAAAUCCAUCACAUUUAAAUUAAUUUCAUAUAAAUUAAGGCUUUUACUCCAAAAAUCAUUAUAAUGAAAAUAAUAUAUUAUACAAUUUAAAAAACACAUCGAAACAUCAAAAUUUCAAUAUAAAAAAUAAUUUAAUGAUUCAAAAUCAUCAAGAUGUAAGUUGAUGAAAAAUGAUUUUUAGAAAUUCAACAAAAUUGACACCAAUUUAUCGCAAUAUGUUCAAAAUAGAGAUUAACUAAUAUGGCACCGGGGGUGGCUCUUUGAGCAUCUUUUCAACUUACCACGUUAUAACUCCGAAAAUUCUAAAAUAUUCAAAUUUUUUCAACCUUUUUCGAUUACUCAAUUUAAUCUUCAUGUGGUAGCUUCACACACUUGCCGGACGACCGGGGUGGUAGCUCUUUCUUACAUGUGGUGGUAGUUUUCACACUCCUUUUGGAUGUAACUCUUUCCACAUCUUUUAAACAUAGGAGUUUUCUCCUUUUUUUUAAAAUCAAACUCCCCCUUAAUUAGACAAUCUCACAAUUGAAAAUAAUUUUGACAAAAUUUAGUCAAUUAGUGAAUAUCCAUCGAUCAUAUUCAACACUUACAACCGAGAUAGAUAAAUCACCAAGAGAUCAAAUUUGAUUUCAAAAUUUUGAUGAAUACAUGCAUUAAGAAAUCAUAUAUUAAAUUAUCGUCAAAAUAAUAAAAAGUGGAGUAAAAACGAUAAUUAAUAUGAAUUUAACUUAAUCAGACCAAUUGAAAAUUUAAAUACGUUUUAAAAAAAAAUAUCUCUCAAAAAUAAUGAUCUCAUCAAUCUCCUUUCUCAAGAUUUAAAUCCCUAAACACCCUUCCUCAAAAAGAUUUAUAACCAAUUAAAAUUCAGCAACCAAAAUCAUUAAACAUGUAAUGCAUGUAUAAAUAUUAUGCAACAAGCACCUAAUCAAAGCAUUACACUUAAGAUCAACGAAAUACUAAGACGAGAGCAAGGAAAGAUAUCACUCUUCGCGGAUCCAACUGUCGGAUCUUUGGUUUUCUCGCUUGUCGACGUUGGUGCCGGUUUGUUAGAUUUGAUCAAUCCGUUGGUGGUUCUUCUUCGUUCGAGGCUUCGGUUCGAAAUUUGUCGUUGAGGCUUAUGUCCUGUUUUGCAUGAACUUGGCGUUGUUCCAUUAGAAAUCCCGUUCUUUUGAGCGUACUCGACUAACUUGAUUUUUCUUUUGAUUCCGCGCGGAAAAGUCGAGUUUAGAUGAUCGCGUUUGAAAGGUUUUAGAAUAUUGCGAUUGAUUCAUUCUUUCCUUAUUUGGCUGAAUUUCCUUAAUAGUGUAACUUCUUGCCGAACAUUUAUGACACAUCUUGUCUAUUCGAAGUUGUUUAGACUUUAGAAGUUUGAUUUUGAAUUCUUCUCAACGUAUUUCCGUUCAUAUCCGAUCGCGAGCUUGUUGUUUGACCCAACCGAGCAUGGUAUCUAGUUUCUUUGAUCGCGAAGGAAAAUCGUUGAAAUGUCGAACUGUGAAGUUGACGAACGUUCGAUUGUCAAAAACUUAUUGCAUGUGUGCGAUCCUCGAAUUGUUUCUCCAAAAAUCCAACCUUAUCUUUAUAAUAUUGAUCGUGAAUUCCGCUUCAUUAGCUUCUCUUGGAGGUCGCGAAUUAAUCUUCAGUCUUGAAAUCCCUUUCCUCCUCAGAACCUUAAUUCUAAUUACUUUACAUUGUUGUUUUCCUCUUCAAUGUUCCAACCAACGACUGGUCCUCCCAAUUCUUCUGUUGAGUUUUUUAGCGCCCAUCUUCUUUGAUCAAUGGAAGUUGAUUGUACCGCUCCGCUACUAACGUCGUCGUUUGAGUCCUCCUCACUUCACACAUUGUUGCUGAAAAGAAUCAAUGUGAAGAAAGAAAUAAUUGAAUUUAGUAGCAAAGAGAUAAAGCACACAACAUUACGAGCGAGGUAUAGAAUGCUUAGUAAAAUAGAGGCAAUCUUGAUCAUUCUUUUCUUGCACUUGACGAUUGAUUCACUUGAUGUUGACUCAUCCCAUCGUCUUUGCUAUAUGCAAUAGCCUUUUGUCUAUACUUCUUUUUUGAAGGAACAAUCCUCGCAAUGUUGUCGUCAGCCUUUGCACUUGAAGCAUUGAUCUCAGCCUUCAAAUAACACACCUUUUCCUUAGGACUUUGAACGGUUUUAUCCUUAACUUUGAAGAAUGAAGAUAUUAUAGACAAGAAGAUUGUCGGCUUAGAUGAUGAAGCCUUGUCCAAUUAUUCUUGUUUCGGAAAUUUCGACGAACCUUCUUCGUAAGCAAGCGCCCAGAUUGUUUGUUCAAAGUCCCAAUUGAUAAAUAUCAAUGUCGGAACGCGAUCGUCUUCGUCCUUGCUCCUUUUAGUUUCAAUGCAAUCACCUGUGCUUUAGAAAGAAGACUUGGAAGAAGAUUGAUUAGUAGAAAAGGUCAUUUCGUAAGUUUGUAAGCAGCACCUACUAAUUACCGUCGACUUCUCAUCUCGUCCGAAUGUUGACGCGUUUCGAUCUGCGCUACUUUAGCCCGAAAACGUUCCGGAAGAGUUCGAAGAAUUUGCGAACAACUUUAGAAUCCGGGAUUUUCUCUCACCAAAUUAGCACAUAGUAUUAAUGAUAUCUUGAAGCCUAGUGUAGUAAUCGUAAAAGAUUAUGCUCUUCCAUACGAAUAGAAUCAAAUAUGACUAAGUCAACAUUUGAGCUUUUGAAAUUUUACUAAACGAGUACUCUCAUUGUAAUUUGUAGAGUAUCCCAACUUCUUGGCCUUUCGGCCGAUUUCCGAAACCCGAGUAAACUCCGUUUGGAUAGAAGCAGUGAAAUAAAUCAUUAAUUCCUUUACGCGGUAAACGAAGAUGACUCAGUUUUCAAUCUUUUGUCCACUUGUUCUCGUGUAUUUAUGGACGUAGCGUUAUUGACAACUUCGGUAGGGUGCUCCCAACCAAAUUUAAUAACUUCCACACACUGCUCAUCGAUUGCAAUUAGAAAAGCCUCAUGCAAACUUCCAAUAGGCAUAAUUCGGUGCCAUCGAAGAGUGGAGGACGAUUAACGUUACCGCCUCGCCAUUAGACAAAGCAAUAUAUUAAAAUCCUGUUCUGAUACCAAUUGAAAGUUUUGAGGAGCCUCAAGGUCUAUCUAGCAUUGUAUCUAGACACCUAGAGGGGGGUUGAAUAGGUUAAUAGCCAAAAAACCACAAAUCUCGGAUGCAAUAAAAAUAAAUGCCGAAAAAUAAAAAGCACACCGAAGAUUUACUGGGAAAAACUCCCAACUUGGAGAAAAACCCACGGGACCAACAGCGAAAUAAACAAUCCACUAAGAGAAAAGAUUAUCAAGGUGAACCGACUCCACGGACGACUCACUCUCCUUAACCUCCUAUGAAAUCAUCUGGCAAUCCACCCGGAGUUGUCCACCCCCACGUUCGAACCAACGAACGCCUCCACUUCGAAUCCACGAAGCUUCAAUCACGCCGAAUCCACGACGCCACUCGAAUCCACGAGCCCACGAUCCGAAUCCACGAACCGCCUUCGUUCACGCCGAAUCCACGACGCCGUUCAUGAAGAGCAUCAUGAUUAUGGUGAUCCUUCGCUUAGAGUAUCGAUGAAAACGAGGGAAAGAAACUCCAAGCGAAGCGGAGAUCAAAUCGACAUAUUAAUAUCAAAUUUCAAUAUCUCGAUUUGAUCUAAAAGAGGCUUUUUGUAGAAAAUAGGUUUUAGAUGAAAUCCGAGCCUCUAGGGUUUCUCAAACAUGUAUUCUUAUUAUUCUACCUUUGUUAGAGAACCCCAAUAGCUUAUUUAUAGACUUUAAAAUCAAACGGAGUCGGAUUAUAAAGUUUUCACGAUUUUACACUGUGUACCGGUACACGAAAAGCUGUCACCGGUACAUAAUGACGGAACGAAAGUACAUUGCCAAUGUUGAUGGCUGUACCGGUACGUGGCGCUUGCUGUACCGGUACACAAUGCAUUUUUUCAGAUUUUGCAUUGUUUCGGGUUUUCAACGUUCCGAGGCACUUUCUAAUCCAUUAAACUUUGAGUUUAUGAUUCUAAUGCCUAUAACUAAGUAUGAAUCACCAUAACAUGAUUUUAAAACAUUACCUGAGCGUCGUGAUUCACAUUAUGAGGUAUUUCCUGAUUUCUUCGAAGUCUUGGAUUCUUCGAUCUUUGUCAAUCCGCUUCGAUCCUUCAAGACUCCGACUUACUUCACGAAACUUGCCAAUACAAAAUCCCUAACAUCUUAAAGACACACCUUUGGAAGGAGAAUUGCCUCGUCUACCUUGAGAACCUAAAGAUUAAGAGGAAAGACACACCUUCGGAAGAUUUGUCAAAUCUGCUCGUAAUAGAAACUAACCUUACAGUUUCCUUUACUUUCAGUUCGGUUAUAGACUUUGAUUCUAGUUCUUAUUUAUAUACUUCAAUGCAGAGUCUAAUAAAAAGUAGAGGGCUUAGGGAAGGGAAAUUGACCCUACAAGUAAGCAACAGGGCAAGAGUUGCUGCUGUGGCUACUGGUACCUAUCCUUUGCGACACUUUCAGGACAUGUUUUAUGAAAGAUUGUUAUUAUAUACCUGCUGCUAGUAGAAAUUUGAUCAUGUUUCUUUUUAGCAUGACGGUUAUAUUUUGAUAAAAACUAUUGUAUAAUUUAUUUUAAUAUUGGUUGUUGGGUCAAUUUCUGAGUAGGUAGUGAGUGCUGUUGGGUCUAAAAGACUGUGAGGAAGUGAAUUCUCGAAAUACGAGAGUUAGACUUUAUGCAAGAUCGACCAAGGGUCGUGUUGGUGUGCUUUGGAAAAGCCAAAGAUGUCAAAAUCACCAAAAGUGCAUUGGAAACGAGUCUACGAGAGCAAAUAGUGCAAAAUCUGCACUUGAGCAAAAUUACUCUCGGGAACCGGUCCCUAGCAGGGAGAGACCGGUCCCAUCGGCUGGGGUUGCGGGGAUCUUUGAUGCAACCGGUCCCUGGCAGGGAGAGACCGAUCCCUGAACGUGAUCCCAGUGAGAAAAGCCAAAAUUUGGCUAAGUCCCGAAAAUCUUACUCUCGGGAACCGGUCUCUCAGGAAGGAACCGGUCUCCCGAGGAUCGGUCUCUCUGGGAGAGACCGGUAUCCGAACGCGUGACCCGAGUUGAAGCUCUCGGGGACUGGUCCCAAGUCGGGGAGACCGAUCCCUCUGGGCGCAGAAUGCCCAGUGAGGGGCAGUGCAUAGAGUGGAAAGUUGAGUGGGCUGUUGGGAUAUUGUUACAAUAGAGGGGCGUAAGGGUCCCCUCAGAUAUUGAACUAAGAUGUCCUGCCUCCCAAAAUUGAAUAUGCAACACCUGUACUUAUGCAAGUAGAUUAUUUUAAUUCUACUCGAAGCCAUUCUUUACACUUUGUUAUUUCAUUAUCCUUUCUUACAUUACGCUCAUUGGCGAAUCUUCACUCUUUAUUCCUUAUCAUUCUUUACACUAUGCCCGUUGGCGAUUCUGUAUUCAUUAACAUUCUUAAUUAUUACUAGUAUUCUUAUUCUUUGCCAUAGUCAUUGACAACUCAUAUCUAAGGUUUUCUCUACCUUAAUCAUCUAUGUCACCCGACUCGGUCUUGAGUCAAUCAACUGCGGAUAAUCCGCGCUCUGUAAGGCUCGAGGCGAAGGACGUCUCACAUGCACCUCAGCCUAAGAUUCUCUCGACUAUAGGUCUAAUCACAGGGUGAGGAUAUACCGUCGAACCCUGGACCACAAGUCGCUCAAUGGACUUACGAGCGAGGAGAACCACACGUACCCGCGUCCCCAAUCUCAUACUCGAACCGGGCGAGGAGAACCACACGUACCCAAUGAGUCACUGCCAGGCGAGGAGAACCACACGUACCUGCAGUUGCCAUACCCUUGCGCUCGGUCGCAAGGCUCAUCCGCUGCACUAGCAGCCGCUGCACUAGCAGCCGCUGCACUAGCAGCACUCAUUCCUAGGGAUUCCGGAAUCCAUUUCUCAUUACUCAAGGGUUGGUCUUAACCCUAUGGAAUUGGCCUAUCUAGGUCCAAGCCUUUACUCAACCUAAGUUAAUACUUUAGGUUCGUUGUUACCAUACUUAUAGCCUAGGUUAUUAACUCUAGCUUCAUUACCUUUGCUCACCUAGGUUCAUGUGAUUCUAGGUUCGUUAUUUUUAUCUCACAACCUAUGUUCUCUAACAUUAGGUUUAAUGCCAUUCUUAUUUAACCUAUGUUCUUUACAUUAGGUUCAAAUCACAUCUGUUUAACCUAUGUCCUCGACACUAGGUUCAAUGCUACUCGAUCUAUAGGUGCAUUUAUGUCCAUAUACACAAGUCCUUUACUUGUCAUUCUUUAACAUGCAACAUGUCCAAUUAAACGUUCUACAUCACCGUUUCCAUCUUCGAGUUCUCUACUUAUCCUAGAGUUAUCAAACAAGUUCGCAAACAUAUACAGGCUCGCAAUGCUAAUCAUGCUUUUUAUAUAUUGUACUUGCAUGCACUCGUGAUCUCUAUAUCAUUUAACAUGCCUCUACUUUAGCAUUUACGUCAUAUUAUUAUUAUCAUGCAUUACUUAGCAUUGGCUACAUGCACUAUCCACAUAAGUCAUUUACUCUUUUAUGCAUCAAUGAAGAUUCUCAACAUCUUUUAGACAUAAGGGCAACUUAGUCGCUUCGGUAAACACAACCCACCUUAACUUGCGCUCCAAUUGCUUGUCGACACUUGCAAUCGGCCUCCCGCGGCAACCGUUGCCCGAUUUGGCCCGAACUCUUGCGUGACCUCCAAACGACCUCCGAAUCGCGAUCCGUCUUUUCCGAAGUUUAUUCCUUGACUCCAAGGUGCUCCGGUUCCGAUCCCACGAUUUUUAGGCGUUUAUCUUGCGUGCUGCGGCCAUCUGCACGACAAAACACUAUUUUGUCAAUAACUUCGCGCACACUCGACGAAUGGUCAAACCGACUUCGCCAACGCGUUUGUUAGGUCCCCAAUUAGGUUUCCAAGGGGUCAAAAUAGAUCAAAAUCCCAUAUGAGCAAAACCCCUCUUUGGGAUGCCCUAACGUGACUAUGCCCAAUACCUCGGAUUUGAUCUAUAAAAUAAGCAAAAGAGAGCUUGUUUAUCAUCUAGGAGCUCAACUAGGAGUAUACGAACCAUUUCUAGGGUGUUUAGAACAAACCCUAGAAAUCCACCAUUAGAGCACCUUGAAGAACACCAUGGAUUUCAUGUGUUCUAGGUCUCCACAUGGUUCUAAUCAUGUUAGAAGCUCCAAAUCUCUAAGUAUUAGGGUUUAAAAACCAAACCCUAACCCUAAUCCCACCAUGAGAGGAGACACAUGGCUUACCUCACAAGGUUGUUCCAAGCAUGAGGGAGAUGAAGAUGAAGGUAAGCUUCUUCUUCUCCUUCCUUCCCUUUUCUUUUUCCUUCUCUUUUCUUCUUUUCCUUCCCCUUUUCUUGCAACUGGUUGAGAUAGGAAGAAAGAGACACGAGAGGGAGAGAGAGAGAUCUGCUGUGAGGGAGAGGGGUUUAGGGCUAUUACAUUAGGUAACACUUGCAAAUAAACCCCUCCAAUCAUUUAUAAUUGCAGCAGACUUCAUUGUGCUGUCGGGUCCCCCGCGUAUCGGUACACGGGUUGGUCUCACUGGUACACGACUCGCGCAACAGCCAACCCGAGAGCAGUCUUACCUCGGGUCGCUUGCUGUACCGGUACAGCCAUCAACCUGUACCGGUACACAAUGCUCCAGAGUUGAUUUUUAGGUCCGUUUCAACUCUAAUUCGCUCGUUUGACCUCCGAUUCUUCUCAAAUCAAACCGAGGCUCACCAAACCUGUUUUUGAACAUGUCUCCAUCAUGUUUUCAUCCACGCUAGUGUUGGACUUAGCUCUUGGCCCAACAUAACCUUUUGGGUUCCGUUUUCGCGCCUACGCGCACCGAAACGCUAAAACCAUUCUAACUCUUUUAGAACUCAUUUUUAACCCUUCCAACUUUGUUGGAAUGUUAAAUAGAACUUGCCCCACUUUUUCUUUCUGACACUUUGGCCAAUUUGGCUAAAGUCCACUAUAAUGUACCGAAGUUUUCGGUAUGUUACACUAGCAGCCGCUGCACUCGCAGCCAGGAUUCCGGAAUCCACUUUCAUAACUCUAGGGUUGGUCUCACCCUAUAGUAUCGACCUAUCUAGGUCCAAGCCUUUACUCAACCUAAGUCUAUAACAUUAGGUUCAAUGCCACUAAGCUCAUAGCCUAGGUUUCAUAAUACUAGGUUCAAUGUUUUUACUACCCAGAUCCAUUUGACUCUAGGUUCAAUAUCCCUAAGUUCAUAACCUAGGUUUACUUGACCCUAGGUUCAAUGCCACUCACCUAGGUUUGUUUAACUCUAGGUUCCAUUCUCAACCUAUGUUCAAGGUCACUAGGUUUAAUGCCACUCAUCAUUCAUCUAUAUUAAAUAACACUAGGUUCCAAUGCCACUCAUCAUACUUAUCAUCCUAAUUAUCCUCACUUAGGAUUCUUUAUAUAUGACACUUAACGAGUUCUUUACUUUACUUAGAGUUUGUCUUUCAUAUGAGUCUAACAUGUACCUUACACAUUCACUUAGCACAUAACUUAUGCAUUCGUUAUUGGCAUCUCAAUCUUGCAUUCAUAUCUAAUUCAUGCAUUUACAUAAUAUCUAGUUUUUGUUUUCCAAUGUCGAAUUCUCUAAUCGACCAAGUUUAACAUGCAUAGUUCAUCUAGCAUAAUCUACAAUAUGUCCACAUGCAUAUUUUAGUAAGGACCGAGAUUUUGGCAGUAUAGCUAAACUCUCAGUUGACGAUGUUUUUGUGUGUAAUUUAAUUACAAAAGCACUCGUCAAGUUUUGGGAGAAACGAGUUAGAACGGAGAUUUUACGCGAUCUCCAAGUUUCACAUAAAGUGAAUAGUAACUCGAUUUUUCGGAGAAGCCACGGUGUGAAGUAGGCUUAUGGCUCGUACCGGACUCCGUUCAUAGCAGUCCAAUAGCUCGUUUCGACCGGUUCAACUGUUUUGGAACUAAUGGCGCUGACGGAUUUUGAGUUUGACGUACGGAUUUUGAGGAAAUCCCAAAAUACAUGUUUUAUAUGUAUUUGUGCAUAGUUUCUUCCAUUGGAGAGUUGGAACGAAUUUCGUCGCGAAUCCGAGAGCGAUCGAGAUGAAACAAAAUCGUAGCUUUGUUGUCUCCGUCAUGCUGAUCGCACUGGUGUGAUCCGUUCGCAAAUCUGACGGACGGAUCUACGGAGAUUGCACGAUGACCGAGUUGAGGUCAAUGAGGGCAAAACGGUAUUUUCGCAAAAGUUGCAAUAUUUUAUGUACCGUUUCAUGCGAGAUCGCACAUGGAGGGCUAUUCGCGCAUUUUACACGCGCUGUGAGGGACUCAAUACUAAAUACUGAGGUUUGGUGGGUUAACCCGCAAAUUUGCACCAUGGUAUAUAUAUGGUUACCUAGGGUUUAAUCCAUUGGAACCCUAACCUAGCCGAGCUAACCCUAGCCGUCUUUUCCCCCACCUCACCUCGUGCACAGUGCGCUUCCCGGCCACCGCUGACUGAGCCCCGGCCGGCCAGCCACCACCGCAGCCACCUUUCUUCCUCUCUCUCCAUCUCUCUCUCCAUCUCUCUCUUUUCUUCUCGGGUUAGAGCCCAGGCCGGAGUCCCGGCGACCUGUCCCGUCGGUCGCCGCCGCCCUUGUGGGCCGCCGCCGCCGCCUCGGCCAGCCUGUGGCCGCCCAAGUUUUGUGCAGACCGAGGUGAGUUCGUACUCUCUCCCUCGCGCCGUCGCCGCCCAGAGCUGCACCCACGGCCUCCCUCACGGCCCUUCGGCACCCCCGCCUUCGGCCGGAGAAGUCACCGCCGCUGCCGCAAGCCUCGCUCGCCGCCGCCGCGGUCCCCAGGCCGAGCCGAGCUCGGGUGGCCACGUCCAAGUUGCGGGCCACUGUCGCCAUCGCCCGCCACCUCCCUCCUCCUCCUUGUGACCUCGUGGCCUCUUCGCCGCUGAUCGGUGUCGCCAUAAGGUCGUCGUCGCCGGAGAAGCCUAGCCUGAGCUCAUCUUUCCUCGUGCGGGCUAGGGCAUCGCCGCCCAUCUCUUCGGCUGCCUCUCACCGGCGUCUCACGUGAGCAGCAGCCUUCCCCCACCUACCGCACCCUCUUGCCGGCAGCGCUCCCGCCGCCGAGUCGUCGCCGGUCGAAUCCAAGCCACUCUACUCCGGUAAGCUUAAAUAAGGGCUUUUCUUGAGUAGUUUACUAUUCCGGGCAAUCCGAGGCUUCCCGAUCUCUACGGAAGGGAGCACGAUGAUCGUGACUCAUCGCUGAUCAUCGUGCUCACCUUAGUUUCUGUCGGGGAGAUCCCGUUCCGCUGUUUCGGUAAUGUCGACCUUGUCGAGCCUUUUUGGCUACUGUUUCUGGUUUGCGUGCGUUGUUCCCGCGAUCCGAGACUAUUCUGAUGCCUCCGGAGGUGAGCACGGUGAUUACUGGUCAAUGAUGAUCACAAUGCUCAGCUUACUUUGGAUCAACAGGGUCCAGUUAGUCCUGUUCGGCGCGUUUUUCCCCGACUGCGCGCUGUUCGCAGAAUCUUCGGGUUGCGCCCGCGCCUCCCACAGUGAGCCGUUGUGCUCCAGAUCAUGAACACGACCUCCAGCACAUUGAGACCUGUCAGUACGUGUCUCGAAAGACCUUGGAAGUCCUCGGUUUGCGUGAACGAGCCACUUAAUCGCUCAAAUUACAUGAAAUAAUAGGAUUUUACGUAAUUAGAGGGACUUUUGUACAAUUGUGCACCACUGUGGACAGUGUGUAUGAGUGUGUUCGACCUCUGGACUGAUUGUCCAUGAUCCUGUAGCUUUCGCGGAAAUCGAAAAGUCGAUUUCGAUGCGUUUUUCGGCGAAAUUAGCCGAAAAAACGCAGUUUCAGUUCGGAUUUCUUCCGACGUAGUUUGUUUAACCUGUGAAUUGUCGCUGAGACUUGUUGGCUGGUCACCAUCAUCAUUUUGUGGGUUCGGUAAUGAUGGGUGAGCGACGGUGGGCACCGGUGUCGAAAUAGACGCUCCCGGGAACCCGUAUUCGUACAAUUAUUCGGCGAUAAUUGUGUAGUGGUGUUAUCUUGUGUUUGCUGCCAAGACAUCCAAAUUGGUGUGUUUUGUGGCAGCGGGUGACUCGUGGUACGAGUCGGUGAGUUUCGGGACACUUAGUGGGUCCCGACGACGUCCCGGUAUGAUUUUCGGGACUUCCGGUGAGUUACAGUGAUUAGUUUUGGAAAACCGAUUACGGGGAUCUUGUGUGGGGGGUUUGUGAGUCUCGUGCUUUGGGUUAGUGGUUUGGAUACUGACCUGGUGGAUCUUCUUAGGUCCGGUAGACUCUGUGCGUACCCAGUGUUCCGACGCGACAGCGACAGGUGGGUGCUUCGAGCUGGUAGUCGGUGAGAUCGUUUCACCCUUCCUCUGUUCUUUCAUAUCAGUAUCGUAGUCUCUACAUGUCAGUUGAUUGUUUAUCGUUUGUUUAUCAUAUCUCAUUGAUUGCAUUUAGAUAGUUGUGGAUAGACAUGUAGAGCGGGUUGCAUAUAUAUUGUAUCUCUGUGGACCUUUGGUCUAGGCAGCACAUCGACUCCUUUGUCGUGUGUUUCCAUCUGGUUGAUCGUGGUUCGGCAUUGUACGCCCUUGCACCUGGCUUCGGCCAUGGCACCAGUCUCUUUUUGCCGGUUUUCGUUUUGAGCAUAUCAGCAUGAUUUAGUCACAGCACUGUGUAUUCUAGACACUAGGUUGGUUUGGCCACCAACCAAGGGGUGUACGUAUCCGGAUAGGUCGUCGGUGACGCAUGAAUAAGUUGGCAGUGUCUGCUCUGUGACAGGUAACGCUUGAGGUCUGCGGACCAAUAUAGCAGCAUCAGAUUGGGUUUGGUUUGGACUAUUUACCCUUGAGGCAUCCGAUCAGUUGAGUUUUUCGUUACAGCAGUAGUUUCGUUCUUGCUCAGUUAUUAUCUUGUUUCUAUUACUACUGUAGUUGCUCUUAUAUCACAUCAUGCUCAUAUCUGUAGUUCUGUUUCAUAUCAGCAUAUAUAUUUGUUUAUCUAUCUCCUUUGGUUUUCGGUGAUUACGACUUGCCUUCGUGGCUCUGUCGUACCUACUGAGAAACCAUAGUUGCGGUUUCUCACCCCCCCUUCCCCCCAGGUGACUUGGGCGAGGAGUUAGAUUUUGGGCUCGAUGGGAGGACGAUCUAGCUAGUCUGGUAUAGCAACCGUCACCCUGGUUACUUUCAUUUCCGCACUUAGUAGUUUUAAUAAUAAAUGGUUCAGUUAAACGAUCCUCAUGUUUGUUUGAAUGUUGGUGAUUUGGCUUCAGUGGAUCUGUGAUGUUUGCCUUAUGCAUGUGAUUUUAGAUUGUAGAUUUGUGGAUCUGGUUUUAUAGAUAUUCAGUUCAUGCAUUUAUGUCAUUAUGCAUUGUGGUUUUCUACCUCUCGAGAUAGUCGGUUUUCAAAAUAGAGUUUUCGAGUGGGAAAUAAUUUUAAAAAGAUUUUCGAAUAGUUUUCAUGGAUGACUGAAAUAGAUUUCAAAAACAAAGCUUCCGGGUGAGGAGCACUUUUAAAUAGGACGAUUGUUGUAUUGUGCAUUGCAUCAUCCAGCGCCUAAGGAGUGCUUAGAGGCAGGCAUCAUCUUAAGGAUUGAUAGCUGUAUAGAAAUGCAUAUGAUGAAUUGGUUGUUGAUUGAUAAAUGUAAGUUGUGGUUGAGAUCCUGUUGUAUCAUUGGUACGCCGUGCAAAUAUAAAAGAGACUAUGUCCGACUGGGCAGGGAAACUUUGUAUUUGUGGCGAGUUUGUGCGUCUCGUGGAUCAUACUAUUUUUUUAAAAAAACAUGUUCUUCCGCAACUCUAUUUUCGAAAUGAUAAUGAAUUUUUUUUUAAAAAAAGCUUUUAAAAUCGGCCCCGGGGCGUGACAUUUUAUCCAACAUAUUCCAAUGGUAGGCAACAUUCUUCAACAUAAUAUAAUUCAUGCAUUCAUCUAGCAAUUAUAUCAUGCAUAAUAUUACCAUUUGCAACCUACCAAACAUACAUAUAUGCACCAUAAUAACCAUGCAUCAUCUAAUGGUAGUCAACAUAGCAUUCACCUCAUGCACUAUAUGUUUUACCACUAACUACCAUUAUAUGCAUCAAUAAUAAAUAACACUUCGCUUCGACAUGGAAGCGAGCUAAUAACUUUGCUGAGCACAACCCACCUAAAAUCGCUUUCCGAUUGCUUGUAGUCACUUGCAAUCGGCCUCCCGCGGCACACGCGGCCCGGUUCGGCCCAAUCUCAUGCUCGAACACCGAACGACCACCAAUCCGCAAUCCGGAAAUUAAAAGUCUAUAACUUGAUGCCACGAUGCUCCGGAUCAGUUCUUGUGAUUUUUGGACGCCGCCUCGGCCCUCCAGGCGGAAACGAAGCCGAAACGUCCGUUUCUUCAAUAUCUUCGCAUAGGCUCGACGAAUAGCCAAACCGAGUUUGCCAACGCGUUCGUAUACCUGGCAAUUAGGUUUGUAUAGGGUUAAUUUAGAUCAAACCCUAACACAAAGCAAAAUCUCAUUUUUGAGCCCUAAGAUGCACUAUUGUAAGAAAUCAUCAUAUAACCUCUUAAUUCAUGCAAUAGUCAAUUAUUUAGCAUCUAAGGAUUCUACUAAACCCAUUCUUAGAGCAUAUAAAUAAACCUCUAAAGAUCUACCAUGAGAGAGGCUCAAGCUUACCUCAACUAAGCUCCAAUUAACCCAAGUAUUACUGAUUUAACAUGCUAACAACACAUUACAGGCUAUUAGAACACUUAAGCAUAAGGAUUAAACCAAAUCCCAAAAGCUUACCAAAAUGUGAACGCCGAGACGGAAGCACGCCGCUCAACCGGGCGCACGAAGGCCCGAUCCGACGCUCCCAACGCGUUCGCAAGCUCGCUCUCCGCCAACGCCGCGAAUUUGAGAGAGAUCUCUAAAGAGAUGAUAAAGAUAUUUAGAGAGAGAAAGGGAGGGUUUCUCUCUCCCUCCAUAUGUGCGUGUGUAUGUGCUGUGGGUGUGUGUGUUCGGUUGAAGGAGAAGAAGAAGCAAAUGCUUCUUUUAUAAUUAACACCCUCAACAAUACAUUAUUCACACUCAGUUUAACAGCUCAGGUACAGAUAUUUUUCGCCUGCCUUUUUGAAUGUCCGUUUGAGCUCAAAUUUGACAGUCAGGUUCGGUUUUACUUAACUUAACGAAAGAAAUUUUAAUCUUUCAGUUUCGACCCUGUUUGGUCACCGAAAGCUCUACCGAACUGUAAUUUCUAGCAGAUAGCAGUCGGAUUUUAUUUUCCACCUUUCGGGUGUCAGAAUGGCAUGAAAUUUUAAUUUAGCCUCAUAAAAAUAAUUCUGACAUAUUCUUCAAUUUUCAUAAUUUUCUGACACUGCGCAUUUUCUACUAAAAUAAUAGCCCCAUUUCUCACAGAAAAUUCUAAAUCUUGUGUUCUCGUUCCGAUUUCAACACAAGUCAUUUCAGACUUUUAUUUUACUUCUCUAAAUCCAAUAAAAAUAGUAUCUCAUAUAAUUUUUAUUUAUAUUUACUUUUAUACCGAAAUCCGGUAUAUUGCAUUUACCACAUUUGAAAGUGGCGAAUUAUUCAUUACACGAGACUAGCUUUGUAAAUAAAUUUGUGAAAAAGUAUUUUUAUAAUUAUAAUUUUUUUAAGCUUAUAAAUAAAAAAAAACUCAAAAAUGCAUGGUUCCAAGUGAACCACAAGCCGCCACGUGGUGCAAUUUCAUAAGAAGUUCCGAUAUGCCUUGAGAAUAAUAUUGCUUGCUGUGUUCUAGUAUGUAUAUAUAUAUAUAUAUAUAUAUAUAUAUAUAUAUAUAUAUAUAUAUAUAUAUAGAUAUAUAUAUAUAUCUUUAUAGUUUUCUUCCUACCUAAUUAAAAUAUUAUUAUAAAAUAAUUUAUACAAAUAUUUAAGUAAUUAUAAGAAAUCAUAACCAUACAUAACAAACUAUUUUGAUAUUUUUACAACUUGAUCUUCUUUUUCCUUUUUUCUUAUAUAUGAUUAGAAUAUUAAAAUGUUAAAAGUUUGAAAUAAGUAUUUAAUUUAUAGUUGAACAAAAAACUAUACUGUUUUAUAUGAUUAUUAUAUUCAAAUAUAAACUUAAGAUCAUUUCUUUUUUCAUUUAUUAUUAUUUCUUCGUUGUUAAGUUUCACAAAAAUACACUGCUCCCUGUGCCUCACGACCUCACAGGCUCCUCCAACACCCCUUCUCUUCUCUAGGGCUUAUUCACGUGGCAUCGAUUCUCUCUCUCUCUCUCUCUCUCUCUCUCUCUCUCUCUUCUGUGUAUUUUUGCUUCUCCUUCCUCGAACACUAGGGUUGAUUCUUGUGAAUAGUAUUUCAACCCCUAUUUAUUUACUAUCAUUUGAAAUUUUGAUUUGUGAUUACGCCUCUUUUUCUGUGUGAAUUUAUCACCUGAUAAUAAUACGAAGCUGAUAUCUUAGAAUUUGUUUUCGUAUUGUAGGAUUAUAAUUUACAACGAUCUAGAAGAGGAUGAGCUUCAAGUUAGUGUUUAAUUCUCUGCGAGAGAUCUUUCCGGAGGUAAAUAAAUCCUAUAAGUGUGAUGUUAUUUUUUUUUCUUUUUUCUUUUCUUUUUCAAAUUUAGUUUUUAUGGUUUGAUCCUUAGGCAUCUUAGAAUUUUUUGUAUAAGAAUAAGUGGCUUUGUUGAACAGCAGAACAUAUUGGAAUAGCCACCUUUUAUUUUUAUGUUGUCGUUGCAAAAUUUGAUUUUGGUUUCUUCAAAUAUCUGAAUAUUUUUUAAUUUUUCCUAUUCUUGUUGCUUACAUUCUGUUAGUAUGUGUUGUAGUGCAAAAAUUGUAAGUAGUCAAGUGAUCAAUUGUUACUUGCAUCAAGUUGUGACAUGUUGCGUCGCAUUAACAAUGACAUAUAAGGUUGAUAUAGUUCAUAAUAGCUGUGACAUCACUCUGACAUUCGACUUGCAAAUUAAGACCCCUCUCAGCUUGGGGGUAUCUAGAUUGACAUAAUUUUAGUUCGGAUGAAAAUCAAGUUUGAUGAGAGUAAAAGUAUUGGCCUUGCCAACAACUAGCAUAAUACCGGAGAGAUUUAGUUUAGGUUAGAUUUUGGAUCUUCUUAUGAAAGAUGACUUCAGACUAUUUUAAAGAGAUUUUUUGUUUUCGAGAGUUUAAGCUCAUGACUACCUAUCGAAUCUUCUUGAUAUCUUCACGAUGGAUGAUAAAACUAAUACUUUCACUGUAACACACUGAACUUUAGCAAAUUGCAAGGUUCGAGUGUUUGAUCUGCGUUUUGAGUUUUUUCAGAUAUUCUGGAGGGUCGUAGACUGUGUUCGGAUCUAUGGCUCGCAUCCCGAGGAGCGAGGUUAAAAAUUUAAUACCAAACCUCUAAACUGUAGGAAAUUGGGCUGCUCUCGGGUUUGCCUCUGCAAGGCUGAGUACCAGUUUUGCAUUGACCUGGUACCGAAACUGGAUCUUGUACCGGUACUGCAUCGGGCUGGUACCGGUACCAAGUGCAUUUUCUCGCCAACCCGAGGCUCGGGUUUGCGCACGCUAUAGCUUGGUACUGGUACUCUUUCUCGCGUACCAGUACGCAGUGCAGUGCGGACUGCACAUUGUUGGAGGGUGUUUUUACAAAUGUUGCAACUCUAUAUAACCCCUCCAUAGCCCCUUGAGGACUUUUUUGAGCCUUAGAACGUGGAGAAAUAGGUGAGGACCCUCUCCCAUGGUUUUUCUCCUAUUUUUUCUUAGUUUUAACUUUAGUUUGAUCUCUCUUUUCCUCUCCUCGUUGCUUCAUUUUGGGUUUCCACUCUUGGAGAAGCCUUGGAUUGGAGAGUGAAGCUUUCUUAAGGAUCAAUCUUCAACCUUAACUCAUUCCAAGCUUGGAUUGGAGCUUCUUGAGAGGUUAGCAUCUUAGAUCUUCUAUUUAGAUCUUAUUUUGGUAGAGUUUUUGAGAUGAAAACCUAGAAAUGAGAAUUUAGGAUUUUAUUUAGGGAUUUUUGAUUUGUGGCUUUUGGGGCUUAAUUGAUAGGUGUAGAACUUUCAUUUGGGUUGGAUUAGAAGGGUUUUAUCUCUCAUUUGAAAAUUGAGAGAGAUUUUCACCAUACAAGGUGAGUUCUUGCCCUUUUCUUGGGUUGGUUAAUAUUUGAACCUAGGAAUGUUCGUUCCUUGCGUUUAACUCUCUUAGAAUUUCCUUUAGGGAGCUAGGAGGCUUAUGGACACCUUCUUUUGCGCGAACGAAGGGUUCCAAGGAGCUCUUGGUGGGUUUGACCUCACCGAAAUGGGUGAAAUCCCCCCCUAUGUUAUUUUUCUUGUUUUAAAAAUUAAAAUUCAUGCAUAUUCAUGCUAGUUAGAGUAUAUGUGAAUUUUAGAAUGCUUAAAAUACAUGUAUUAUGUAUCAUGAAAAAUCACCUCUAUGUAGUAGAGAGAUAUGUGUAUAGCAACCAUGCAUGUGAGUAGCAUUCUUUGAUAUAGCUUAAAAUCAUGUUUCAUUUAGUGAAAAAGACAAGAAUAUCAUGCUCUUGGACAUAGAACUUAUGCUUGACAUAAUGGACAUUAAAUGUCAUAAAGUAGCAUUCAACUUAGCAAAUGGUUAAACUUGUACUUGAUGACAUAAUGAUAGGCCAUUGGGGCUUUAGCCUUUAUACCAUAUUUUAGACAUGAUGACUUAGUCUGGAGACGGAUGAUUACACUUGUUUGCAUUGUGCUCAUUUGCACAUGCUUGUGAGGGUCGCUCCCCACAAGCCGGCACUCCGGAGAUGGCCAUCGCGACAUAAGCUCACCCGUGCGGGAUUGGGUGCCGAAAUGCUAUGCCGUCGAGGAGGCUCAUUCCUAAUGUGGGAAUGUUGACUACCACAGGGCCAUUAGGCAUAGCGCAAGCCAGACUACCUUAGUGUAGGUCCUAUGUGAUUGGAACAAUGUUGAAGUAUAAUGCAAUACGGACAUUGAACUAGUUGUAAAUGUUGACAUUCUACUAGUUGUACUUGUGGGCAUCAUGUUAUUUAUACAUAUGCAUAUUCAUGUUAGAAUAGCAUUUAUGCUUGUGGAAAAUCCAUGCUAAGUAGAGGCAUAGUAGCUUAGCAAGUUUUAAUCAUGCUUAUUAUACAUGUUGUUCAUGUUAAUUAAAUGUUAGAACUUACUACAAUUACUUCCAUCGCCUAGUGGUGUAUUUCGCUGAGGUCGGCGGUUUGCCCACUGGGAACUAUUGAUUAUAGUUUUCACGUCCUCUAUUUUGUUGUUUUUAUUUCAGAGCCUUCCACUCCGGGAGAGGCUCGGUAUCGCGGCAAGGGUAUUGCCUCUAGCUAGUUGUGAGGAGCUUCGCUAUUAGGUGGUUCACCCCUCUUUUUGUUUUAUUUGGAGAGGUUGAGAGUUUUGUACCUUAUGUAGAGACCACAAUUUUUGUAUAUCUAGUUCUUAUACUUGAAACUUGAUGUAUCUACCUUAUGGUUUAUGUUAGUUGUUUAGUUCUUUUUCUAUUCUACUUGUCAUUAGAAUUUAGUUGUAAUCAUGCUCUGAUAUCUCUAGAUGCUCGUUAUUAUUGCUUUAACUAUCGCUUGUUGUAGACGCCUUAUAUGUUGCAGGCAUAUGGCGGGUCUGGACACGCACCGGGCGGGCUUCCGCUGGGUCCCGGGGCGUGACAUUCACUCUUAAUAAACUAGAUUUACGACCAAAUCACAACUUCGUCAAUCCAAGCGCCCCCUCAACGAUGUGUGCUAACAUAUCAUGUGCUUGUGCCCUACUUCAUUAUUUGAGUGGAUGUUGAAAUGUGCUGGUGAAUGCCGCAAAACUGCUGUCAUAAGCAUAAGCAUGCGCUGCUAUACACGAUUGCAUAGGCCAAACAAACCCUUAGUCAGAAAAUAGAAGCAAGUAAGAAGUUGAUUCUAAAACAUAACUUUUCACUUGCGAAGAGUCAUGCAUUAAUUGGUUAGAAUUGGAAAUUGAUUGACUGAUAGUGUGGGUAAGAAGAUGAUCGAUCAGUUAUUUUCAUAUGGUUGACCUAUUUUGAUCUUUGGUCAUUUUUCAGUCUUCAUUCAUUUUCUUUUGAUUGUAGAGUCAAAUAAAUAGUUGACAAAAUCCAAUAGUUCUUGAAAUUGAUGGAGGGAAGUAAAAGAAGUUGUUGUGGAGUUAUUGCUAAUUAUUUAGAGAUUUAUGGUAUCCAUUCAAUAGAAGUGAAAAAUAUUUCCUCAUGGUCAAACAUAAAAUAUUUAUAUUUGAUUCUUAAUAUUUAGCAUGUUACAAAGCUUGGAUGGCUUUUCAUAUAUAACUAGUAUAGGAAUUACGCGAUGCGGCUGGUUGAUUUUAUAGCAGUAAACUAAUAUAUAUAAUAAUUAAUAAAAAUGAUUUCAUUAUCGACUUUUGUACUCAGCAUAGGCAAGAAACUUGAAAAAUAUAUUCUUCUAAUAUAUAAAAAUGAUAGUGAAAAGCUCAACGUUAUAUUAAUUAAAUAUAUGGGCCAAAAUAUAUUUACUAUGGUGAGGAGAAAUAAUAUAAUAUAUAAAUUAAAGAGACUAAAAAUUAAUUAAAUUUAUUUAUGUAUAUUACAAUCAACAAUUUUUUUUUUUGGAUUCAAAUUCUUAGACUUUAAAUCUCUUCUUCAAAUCAAAGAGCCUCUAUCAUUUGCUUUGAAUCCUCACAAAUCAUUCGCUUAUGGCAUACUUGGUAUUUAAUAUUAAACUGGAUAUGAUAGCAUAGAAGGAUUGGAUAUAAUUGCGAUUAGUAUUGGAUUGGACAAAUAAUAAUCCAAUUCAUUGAUGAUUAUAGAAUAGUAUAUAAAAUUGGAUUAUUUAAUGAGAAUUCACACACCUAAAAUAAAUUUCAUAAUUUAGAUUUUAAUUUGAAUUGAGAUAUUAAAUUCAAAUUCAAAAUUUAAAACUUAAACUCUAAAUUUGAACUUAAAGCUUCAAUUUUAAUUUAAAACUAAAUUAGAAAUUCAAAUUGUAAUUUAACAUGGGAUAAUUUGUGAGUCGAACUAAAACUACGGAUCUUGUAGUCACAAAUCUAAUAACUUUUCUUAAGAAAGGGAAAAGAAAGAAAGAAUUCUUAUGUUGAGUAGAAGGGGACAACCGCCUACUUUUUGAUGCGAACGAUGGAGAACUCAGGAGCAAUGUCCCCUCCUUUCCUCUCUCCGCUGGAUCUCUAUCGCCGUUGCUGCCGCUGCCGCCAGUCGCCCUUGCCCUGCCAUCGCCUUCGUCGCUGACGCUAUGGCCCAGUGCAUCAGCAAGUUCGUGCGCUGCCCUGACGCCACCUCUAAGGCCCGCAUCUAUAUCGACCUCAACGUCCAUCGACCCAAGGAGUACAGGACUAUGAAACCCUUGCCGUCUAAGGCUUAGUUUGGUAUUGAGGCCUAUCUAACGUUAUUAGAUAAAAUGGAGUUGAGAAAAAAGCAUAUAGGGAUAUGCUUUUGCGUUCUCCAGUGGGACUGCAGAAAAUAUAUAAUAACCGACUCAUCGCGAUAUGCAGAACGCAAUAAAGAAGAGAAAAAAAAAAAGAAAGAAAAGAAAAGAAAAGCGAGAGGAAAUAGGAGAGGGGCGGUAUGGAGAUGGAAAGGCGACGGUUGUAAUUGUAUUGGGACUGUGGAUGCAUUAAUUGGGACGGUAGAGAGAAGGUGAAGGGUCGUGUAUGUUUUUGAAAGUGUGAACUGCUUCCUCAAAAUUAGCUAUGCAUGAUAUGUCAUUUAAAUAUUGAGUUUUAAUGAAAAGGUAAAGUAAUGAAGGUUAAAUUCUCUCCCUAAAAUAAGGAGAGUAUGCCAAAUCAGCUUAAAUAUUGAACUUUCACAUAGUUUAAUAGAUUAAUAGAUAAAUGACUCUUAAUGAAUGUGUACAUAAUUUGUAUCCCUUAGGCCUAAUUAUAUAAGAAUAAAACUAAAUCUUUUCAUUUAAUUUGAAACCCAGAAUAAUUAGUAAUCUAAUUGUAAAGCUUGAGUUUUAGUUUGAAAAAUAGACUUUCAUCAAGCAGAUUGGUUAUAUAUAUAUUUUACUCGUUAUAUCUUUCUAUGUGUCACCUAUUUACUUAAUAAGUUAUAAAUAUAUAACUUAUUAAUAUUUUAUAAAUUUGUUUUUAUUAUCUAUCCGUCGCAUCGCACGGAUCUCUGCACUAGUUAAGCAUGAUUCAAAUAGCACUAGUUAAGCAUGAUUCAAAUAAUUCUGUUCGGUUCGACUUAGUUUAGCUUGUACUUCUAUCUUUCUUUCACAUUUAAUAUAAAUUGAAAAGAUCGAGUUGAACUAAACAACACUAAACCAGCCAAUUCUUACCAUUCAAUCAAUUUUACAUAAACUAAGAAAAAAAACCCGACCCGAUCGAGUCUCAACCCUGCCGCUAUAACACUUCUCGUUCUGCCAAAGACGUAAAAGCGAAACCCAAACCCCAACACAUGUCACCACCUCUAACUGAACUCUUAAAACCCUUCGCGGCCGCUCGCCAACCACUCACCAUCCCCCCCUCCCCCCUCUUCGCAACAGCUCCUCUCCAUUCGAUUUUUCGUCCUUUGCCAUCUUCCUCCUCUCUCUUCUCCUCUCGAUUCUCUAAACAGGUACUAACUUUAAUUUACGAUCUCUACUUUCUUUUUUUAAAAAGUAAUUUAUAGGUUUAAUCUUUUUUUUUCUUUUUUCUUUUCUAUCUUUAUUGAGGUGUUAAAUUUUACUUAUUUGUAGCUUUUUUGUCCUUGUUUUUGUUAGACGCUUUUAAGAUUUUUUGGCUAUUCAUGUGGUAUUUUUUUCAAACUUUUUUUUUAAAAUAAUCUUAGAAAAUAUUAUAAUUGGCUUAAUGACUCUACUAUUAAAUAAUAUUUUUUUUGCCAUAUAAGAGUCACGGUAGAAUUUUUUCUUAAAAGGUGCAUUUGUUUAAGAUUAUCCAAACAAUUAUGUCAGGAUUACUAUAUUUGAUUCAUUGAAUAAGUAAUCUGUUCAGUAUUGCAGUAUUAUUAUAAAAGAGUGUAAAAAUAUUAUUGAAGGGAAGCGUAUAUCUUGGGUUGCCUGUAAUGUUUCAUAUUAUAUAAAAUGACAGUUUUACCCUCCCUCACUAGGGCUGUAAACGAGCCGAGCUCGAGCGAGCUGGAGCCAGCUCGAGCUCGGCUUGUCAUCUUCAAGGUCGGCUCGUGUUCGGCUCGAGUUUGUGACGAGCUCGAAAACUUUGGCUCGUGAUCGGCUCGAAACUUAAUCGAGUCGGCUCGUGUUCGGCUCGUUAGCUCGAGCUCGUGGGCACACCCUCGGCAGCGAUUCUUCGCUCCUCGACAUCCUCCUAGCUGCCGAGCUCGCCGUGGCCGAGGACGUACGCGACCUCGUCGACCUCGCGCGGCGCGAGUGCUGGCGCUCGACUUCGGCCCCCGACCCCGCCGAGGACGCACACCGCUCCGAGGUCCUGAAGCUGAUCCGCGAGAUCGAGAUGGAGAUCGUCCCCGACCGCGCGUGCCUCGCCGCGAUCUUCAAGCCUGAGAUAGAGAAAGAGGGAGGCGGCUGUGUGCGGUGCUUGUGCGAGCCUGAUAAAGAGAGAGAGAGAGUUGGGUGUGUCAUGUGUGUGUGGCUGUGUCACCUGUGUGUGUGGCUGUGUGUGGGGCAGUGUGAAAAAGAUGGAAAAAAUACUAAUUAGGGUUGGGACUUAAAAAAAAAAUAUUGGUACUUAUUUAUGGAUCUAUGGGCCAUGAAUGGAAAUAAAAACUUCUAUAUAUAAAUGGGCCUAUGGGCCUUUUUUAUAAAUAAGCUAAAUUUUUUUACAAAAUUGGACUAAAAAUUUAAAAUUAAUAAUCUGUAUUAUAUAUAUAUAUAUUUAUAAUACAAAUAUAAUUAUAUAUAUAAUAUAUAAUAUAUAAAAUUAUAUUAAUAUAAAAUAAAUAUAAUCGAGCUGUUAUCGAGCCGAACACGAGCGAGCUGACCCUAGCUCGUGUGUCGGCUCGUUUAUUAAACGAGCGAAAAUUCAGCUAUUUUGGUUCGUUUACUAAACGAACGAGCCGAUCUCGAGUUCAUUUUCGAGCCGAAGCACGAGUUGGCUCGCGAAACGAUCGACUGAUUGCCACCCCUAUCCAGCACCCCCCAAACUAUAUCAAUAGCAUCGUUUCAUCUCUCUCUUCUCUCUCUCUCCUCCCUCGUCUUCUCUCUCUCUCUUUCACGCCCGCCCCUCUCUCUCUCUCUCUCUUCUCACGCACGCCCUUCUCUGUCUCUCUGCCUCUCUUAGCACGAACGCCUAUCGCUUCUACUGCUGCUUCGUUCUCAUCAAGGUAAUCUUCGCGAUAUCCUAACCUCUCAUUCGCCAUUUUCGCAUACAUAUUUAAUGACUUCUUCUCUCUCGCUAAAAUCCAUUGUUUUCGAACUGAAGUUAGUAUACGAUUUGAGUUUUUUUUUUUUUUUUUUUUUUUCCUUUUUUCGUCGAUUUAAGGAGUGUUUAUGCCUCUUUUUCACAUAUUGAUUAUAGAUCUGUUGCAAACUUCGUCAGAUCUGAAGCCAUGUCUUGUUUCAUUUAGUUGCAAUCUUUCUACAGGACAUGCUUAACAGGCACUUUGGUAUUUUUGAUUCUUAUUAAUCUAAUUUUGGAUCUCGUUUUUUUAUUUUUUAUUUUAAAUCUCCCUUUUCCUGGAUCUGAUUUGGAACUGUCAGGGAAAAAUUUAUAUAUUUUUUAUGCCCUAAUUAGUUAUGUGUUGGCCUAAAAGUAAAAAACCUGGUAAAAAAUAAAAACCCUAGAGGAAGAGUUAAUGACACGCAUCCACCCAAGUUUCUGAUGUCGGCAUAUUUUUUAUGGAGCAAAGUAGUUGUCGAGUAAACACUUCGGAUGGUGGAACAUCGGCAAAAUCAACGAAGCGAAAGUCACCACUUGGAGAGGAUUCGAUCAAUGAACAAUUUUGUUCAACCUUGUGUUCACUUGAAACUUCAUUUAAUGAUGCCGAUGAGCACUUAGGUCGGCUUGCUCAUUGCUUUCAAAUCGUGUCAAAUAAUUAGACAAAAAAAGAGAACUUGUUCGAAAAGAUACUAAAGAUCGAGGGAUUUGAGGACAUGCAAUAAUUAAUGUUGUUGAAAUCCUAACGGGUGAUUCUACAAAAUUACAUACAUUCUAUUGCAUGCCCGAUCAUUACAGAAAGCAAUAUAUUUUUCGUAUCUCAGGUGGAUGUGAUUAAAGAAAUUGUGUUAUUAGAGUUGGACUAGUUGGGUUUAGACUUUUUUGGCUUGUCUUUUUUUAGUGCAAGGACUUUUAAACUUUUAUAAUAUAUAAGUGUUUAAGCUUCCACUUUUGGAUGGUAUUAUGAUGUAUGUGGAAGUUUCAACUCUAUGAAAUAUUUAUUCUAUAUGGUGCUUUGUUAAUUUCUUACCUUGGUAAUAGUAUUGUUUGAUAUUAAACAUGAAAAAUAUAUAUUUGAUAUUAUGCUGUUAAUGUGCCUUUAUGUGACGUUUGGUUAAUGAUUUUGUUUAUAGAUGAGUUUCUAAAUUGAAAUUUAUUUGUUAGUGUAUGCUUUUUGAUUAUGUAUUAUGGUCUUUUUUCUAUUUGUUCUUAUAUGGGUUGAAAUUAAUUUUUUUGCAACAUAAUUUGUUUUUUCAUGUUUGGUCUUUUUAUUUUAAUAUAAUUAAUUUACAAGUGCAAAUUAUAUUUACUUAUAUUUUAGUAAAAAAAAUAUUCAAAUGACCACAAACAAUUUUGGAAAAGACUAUACUUUUCUGUUAGGAUUACUAAAUUUUAUAUAUUGAACCAAACAUAGUAAUGCUAUAAACACUGUAAUCCAGCAUUAUAUUAUUGUAUUAAACUAAAUGCGCUAAUGCAACGUCAGUAGUAAUCUCAUUUAGAAAUCCAAGAUACCUGGAUAUGUCGAAAUACCUUGUAAUAUUACAUCACUCGAACCAAAACUAACCUAAAGGCGGUGAAUCAUUUACUGCCUUUCUAAUUUUCCACCAAAGCGGUGAAUCAUUCACCACCUUCUUGAAUAUUGUUUAUUAGGAUUUUUUAGAUUGUUAAGAUUGUAUGUGAUUUUUUGAAAUUUUUAUAUGGCUGUUAGGAUUAUAUAUGGAAAAUAAAAAAAACUGAGGUUGUUACAAUUGUAUGUGGAUUAUUAGAAUUUUUGUUUGAUUGUUAUGAUUGUAUGGAUAGAUUAUUAGGAUUUUUUUGCUUGUUAAGAUUGUAUGUGAUUUGUUGAAAUUUUUAUUGAAAUUUUUAUGUGGUUGUUAGAAUUAUAGAGGAAAUAGAACCAUAAACUGUACUGUUUUAUAUGAUUAUUAUAUCCAAAUAUAAACUUAAGAUCAUUUCUUUUUUCAUUUAUUAUUAUUUCUUCAUUGUUAAGUUUCGCAAGAGUACGCUUUUCCCUGUGCCUCACGGCCUCACAGGUUCCUCCAACCCCCCUUCUCUUCUCUAGGGCUUAUUCUCGUGGCAUCGAUUCUCUCUCUCUCUCUCUCUCUCUCUCUCUCUCUCUCUCUCCUUUGUGUAUUUUCGCCUCUCCUUCCUCGAACACUAGGUUGAUUCUUGUGAGCAGUAUUUUAACCCCUAUUUAUUUUUUAUCAUUUGAACUUUUGAUUUGUGAUUAUCCCUUUUUUUUUGUGUGAAUUUAUUGCCUGAUAAUAAUACGAAGCUGAUAUCUUAGAAUUUGUUUUCGUAUUGUAGGAUUAUAAUUUACAACGAUCUAGAAGAGGAUGAGCUUCAAGUUAGUGUUUAAUUCUCUGCAAGAGAUCUUUCCGGAGGUAAAUAAAUCCUAUAAGAGUGAUGUUAUUUUUUUCUUUUUUCUUUUCUUUUUCAAAUUUAGUUUUUUAUGGUUUGAUCCUUAGACAUCUUAGGAUUUGUGCAUAAGAACAAGUGGCUUUGUUGAACAACAGAACAUAUUGGAAUAACCACCUUUAUUUUUAUGUUGUCGUUGCAAAAUUUGAUUUUGGUUUCUUCAAAUAUCUGAAUAUUUUUUAAUUUUUCCUAUUCUUGUUGCUUAAAUUCUGUUAGUAUGUGUUGCAGUGCAGAAAUUGUAAGUAAUCAAGUGAUCAAUUGUUACUUGCAUCAAGUUGUGGCAUGUUGCGUCGCAUUAACAAUGACAUGUAAGGUUGAUAUAGUUCAUAAUAACUGUGACAUCACUCUAACAUUCAACUUGCAAAUUAAGACCCCUUUCAGCUUGGGGGCACCUGAAUUGACAUAAUUUUAGUUUGGAUGAAAAUCAAGUUUGAUGAGAGUAAAAAUAUUGGCCUUGCCAGCAACUAGCAUAAUACCGGAGAGAUUCAGUGUAGGUUAGAUUUUGGAUCUUCUUAUGAAAGAUGACUUCAGACCAUUUUAAAGAGAUUUUUUGUUUUCGAGAGUUUAAGCUCAUGACUACCUAUCGAAUCUUCUUGAUAUCUUCAUGAUGGAUGACAAAACUAAUACUUUCACUCUUAAUAAACUAGAUUUGCGACCGGAUCACAAUUUCGUCAAUCCAAGCGCCCCCUCAAUGAUGUGUGCUAACAUAUCAUGUGCUUAUGCCCUACUUCAUUAUUUGAGUGGAUGUUGGAAUGUGCUGGUGAGUGCCGCAAAACUGCUGUCAUGAGCAUUAGCAUGCGCUGCUACACAUGAUUGCAUAGGCCAAACAAACCCUUACUAGGAAAAUAGAAGCAAGAAAGAAGUUGAUUCUAAGACAUAACUUUUCACUUACGAAGAGUCAUGCAUUAAUUGGUUAGAAUUGGAAAUUGAUUGACUGAUAGUGUGGGUAGGAAGAUGAUCGAUCAGUUAUUUUCAUAUGGUUGACCUAUUUUGAUCUAUGGUCAUUUUUCAGUCUUCAUUCAUUUUCUUAUGAUUGUAGAGUCAAAUAAAUAGUUGACAGAAUCCAAUGGCUCUUGAAAUUGAAGGAGGGAAGUGGAAGAAGUUGUUGUGGAGUUAUUGGUGAUUAUUUAGAGAUUUAUGGUAUCCAUUCAAGAGAAGUGAAAAACAUUUCCUUAUGGUCAAACAUAUAUUUAUAUUUGAUUCUUAAUAUUUAGCAUGUUACAAAGCUUGGAUGGCUUUUUAUAUAUAGUGGCUCUUAAUGGAUGUGUACAUAAAUCCGUUAGGCCUAAUUACAUAAGGAUAAAACUAAAUCUUUUCACUUAAUUUGAAACCCAUAAUACAACCCUAUAUGAAAAAUUAACUUGAGGAGGGAGUUGAAAGGGGAUUCUUAGUCAAACUCGGGUUCUUCAGCUCUUGCUGGGUCUUCUACCAGUUAUUAGUAGAUCUGGGUUUUUUUGUGGUUGAUUGCGGAUUGCAGCUUUCCUUCCUUUAUUCAUCCCCUUGACUCCUUACAUUACGAGUUUAUGACUAAAGAAAGAAUUAAAAAUUUUGGUUUAUCAACUCUUACUUAAGCUUAACUCUACUAGUAGUAGCUAUGCCACUUUUGCCGAAUGCUUGAGUUGUAUGGAUUUUGUCCAUCUGAUAUGACAAGUUUCAACAAGGAUGGAAAAUACCAUUUCUAAAAUCAUUUAAUAUAAAGAAGUUCAAUGUUCUUACAUUCUUUAGCAGCUUUGGCACCAUGCUUGAACAACAUUGAUUUAACUGUGUUGCUUUCCUUAUUUAUCUAUCUGUUUUGCUUCAAGGUACAUUUCAUCAAAAGCUCCUGAGACCUUCCAAUGGCUGCUUUUAUUUUGAGUUCAAGCAAUUCCUAAGGCAUAAAGUUUCCUUUUUUGCUGUGCAAGAUUACUCUUGUCUAAUCAUGAUGAUCCCUUCAUCUUUAAGAACUGCUGUAUUCUUUUUUGUUGUUAUUUCUCAAUUUAGUUUGUUUAUCUUGAAUUAUGUAACUGCAAUAUAUCUUUCAGUGAUUAUUAUUUCUUUCAUGGAAACUUAAAAGGAUUUUCAGAGGAUAUAUAUUUUUUGAUUUGCUUUAGUACUUGGAGCAAGUAGUGUAGUCAACUAAUCUGUUUUCCUUAAUAUCCAGUUUCAGUCUCAACUUUAUCAGUUUUCAUCUGGCAUCUUGUUCUGCCUUUAUGAUCUACAGAACAAACUUUUAGUCCAAGGCCCUCUUUGAAUAAUUAUCGUUCUUUUCUUCGCUGCAGGUUGAUCUACGAAUUUUGAAGGCUGUCGCCAUUGAGCAUGCUAACGAUAUUGAUGCCGCUGCAGAAUUUAUUCUUCUUGAAGUCAUACCAAAUAUCAGUGCAUCUCCUGAAGCUUCUUCCUUCAAUAUGAACUAUGCAUAUGAACUAAAAGAUUCAUCUUUCAAAAGUAAGAUUGUGUGUUCCUUGAUCUAGGCCCAGUUCUACAGGAUGAAGAUAAUAGAAAACGCCUUUCAUAUUUUCUCAAACCACUAUCUUUUUAAGCCUUCUUUUAUAUUCUUUGUGGCUUUCUCUGCAUAGUUGAAGAAACUUAUUAUUUAGUCUUUCUUCAGGACCUAAUCCGGAGGAAUUUGAGAGAGGUUCUCCUAGUCGUCCUACAAAGGAUUCUCAGCUCAAGUCACCGUACUUAGAGGAAGGAGUGUUUGGAGAUCGAGUUGUAGGUCCAGCAUGUGAUGUGGAUGGUUCAGGAUCUUUGACAUCAUCAGAUGAAAGUAAUGAAGAAUUAAAUGCACCUGUACCUUCAACAUCAAAGUUAGAAAAUAGAUCCGAUCCUCCUAGCCUCGGAGUUUUUCGUCUUGAGCAACAAUACCCUGGUGCUCAAAAUGGAAAUCCAUUUGUCCAUGUGAUCUCCAGACCUGUGCAUGAGGACUCUCUAGGAGAACACAUAGUUGAACCAUGUUCUGAGUUUAAAGCAAGCGGAAAUGAUUCUCUCUGCACCAGCUCUCAACAGCUUUCUGGGUUAGAUCCUGAACAAACUGUUGCAGCUGUUGAAUCUAGUAGCCGAGAUGGUUUAUUAAUUGUUCUUCCUGAUUUAGCGGACCACAAAGCUGCAGGAAUGAAAGAUGUUAAUAAUUCUUUUAGUGAAUCCGAAGCUGUUUCACGAUGGUCAGAUGAUGUUUUGGAGACCAAUGAUGCUAGAUCUGGUUUUACAUCUUGUCGGGAUAUCGUACCAUUACUUAAUGAAGAAAAUAAUUCUUAUAUGGGCCGGGAAGAUGAGGAGCCCAAUAUUACUGACAACAAUUUUAGUGGAGACAAAGGAUUGCAGUCUAGCUAUUCUGAGGAUUUGGCAUCUUUGGAAUAUGAGAUGCUUCAUGCUGGUGAUCGCAAUCUACCUGGAACUUUGGCUACUCGCUCGGGCCAUUUUGUUGACGUUGAACUUCUUGAAGAAUUUAUCACUGAUGCCAAAAGUAACAAGGUACUACUUUAAUUAAGCAUUUGGAGUUGGCGUUUGACAACUGUUCUUUAUUAGCAAAUACUUUUGAAGCAAAUAGCAAAAUUAUCAAGUUCGGGCUCGUUUGGUAUUAUUUGUUUUAUUCUUUCUAUUUUCCACAAGUUUAAUGGAAUUGAAGUCUCCUAACCGUAGACUUGAUGUUAUGGUUAGUUUGCAAAAUCAUAUUUGUACAGACAAAGAAGGAAGAAGCGAAAAGAAUACUAAAUGAAUGUUAGAAGAAAAACUAAAUGCAGCAGCAGUAGGAAGGCGUGUAGUGGUACUAUGGAUACAAACGGCGCGGAUCCGAGGGCGGGAGGGGCCCCUCACCUCCUGCCCCAUUUUCUUGGUGGUCGGGACCGAUUCGAGGCUGAUUGGACUUAUCAUAUUUUUUUUGCCCCCACUUACUGCUCCAUUGGGGGCGCGGCGGGUUGGGAGCGGGAUUUUGGCAGAUUUUUGGUGGAUCAAAGGAAGGAAAGAGUCCCCCGCCUCUUGCUCCAUUUCUUGACGGAAUGGGGUGGGAGCGGGUUUUGGGCUGUUUUUUUUUUUUUUUUUUUUUUUUUUUUUUUUUUUACAUUUCUUAUUUUCAUUUUUUUUGGCAUUUCUGUGAUAUCAAAUAGUGUUACCUAGGAUUAUUUUAGGGCACAUUUGGUUCAUGGUUUGUGGAGGAUUAUCCGGUAAUCCUCCAUAUUUGCUGUUGAAAAUAUUCAAAUUAUUACCAUUCAACUCAAGUUGGGUAGCUGUAAAAGAUAUUGGUGAAGUAGUGGAAUCAUUAAAGAUUCUUAAGUGAUAUGAAUACUAGAUUAUCAUGGGUUAGGAUGUAUUCCUAUUUCCAUUCUUGAUGGGAAUUAUUAGUGGUCCAUUAAAAAGAAUAUACUAGUUCUUAACAACCUCCAAACUCAAGUGGCUUGAUAAGUUAGUAACAAACUUACUAUUCCAAAUAUAAAAUAUACAACAUUCCCAGAAUAUUAUGAACCUUGAACUAAACAGCCCCCAGUUCUUUUGCGUCUAUUCUUACCUCUUUGUUUCUCUUUAUCUGAGAAAGUGUCAUGUUCAGUCGAGUCAUUAAAUCAGCCGAAAAUCUUUCACAUAGAAUAGCAUUCUUUAUGUCCAUUAUGGUUAUUCUGUUAUUUAUAGCAUGAUGUAUGGUUCUGGAUUUUGAUCUUUGGCUGCCAUCAUUCUCGUAUCCCUUUGAAGUUAGUCUUCUAUUCUCUAGUUUAGUCAUCACAUAGGUUCUUUAUUCUCACUGCAUAUUCAAAGAACUUCAAAAUUUCUGCUUUUCACUACUUCAACCAUGAAUUUCUUUUUGUUUUUGUUUUUCUGGUCCAGCUAUCAAGUUCAGGAUCUACUUAUUUCCUAACACAGAUAAUGCAUAUGGGUACUUUUAUAAGAGUGUAAGGUUUUUGAUGUAUGUUUAUAAAGAUUUUUUCUUGAAAACCCAUUUUUUUUUACUUUCCCUUGUGUUCAGAGCUUUUUGGUACUGUUUGAGAUGCAGUAGAUGCAGUGAUCCAUGCUUAAAUAGUUGAAGCAUUUUUAAGUUACUUAGGAUAUGCUUGAGGUGUUUGUGUGGAGAUGUUGUAGCUCGAUUCAUGAUCAAUCCAGUUCUAUAUUGAGUUGUUUCAAAUGCACCUCUGCAUUAUGACAUGCAGACGUUUAUUGUAGCUCAGGACUUUGUCUUUUGCCUAAAUCCAUGUUCUUUUAUGUACUGGCCUGUAGUCAUGGAAUCUGUUAUUUGAUGUGUCUUUUUUUUUUUCCCCAAAUGUUGCAGAAGAACUUGCUAUCUGCUGCAGAAUCAGUAACUAAUGUGAUUAAAGAGGUCGAGCUUCUUGAGGAAAGGGCCAAACAGGCUAAAAAAGAAGCUUCCAAUGCUGGUAAGGGUAUUUCGGAGAAGGCCAACGAACUCAAGCAGACGUUGAAGCAUGCAAAGGAAGCAAAUGAGAUGGUUGUGUACUUUGCCUUACUUUCCUUUUGGGCUCUUUAUUUGCUAGAAGGAUAUUUUGACCUUCUGUUAGUACUUGCAGCGUGCGGCUGAGAUUUAUGGUGAGAAAUCUAUAUUAGCAACUGAAGCUCGGGAGCUUCUGUCUCGGCUUGCUAGUUUGUCAGAUGAAAGGAACAAAUCUCUUACUAUCAUUGAGGAGGUACGCUUUAGACUUGUUUUGUAAUGUCAUUAAUGCGGAACCAUAUUCAAAGAGGGUUUGGUCUGAGUCAUCUUUUAUUUAUUUGAGUCAAUUUUUGCAUUAAGGUUGAUUGAGUUGUCUUGAUUUAUUCUUUUAUAAUUUUCGGAAUUAUUCUGUUUGUUAAUUUAUUUUAGUCAUUUUUUUCAAAGAUUUUUAGGAUUCAUCAUGUGAAAUAAAUCCCUACAAAUUAGGAAUAUGGUUUAGGUUUUUUUUUGAUAUUUUUGAAUUAGGAAAAGAUCUCUAAAUUCGUGGGAUUGCUUUAGAUUAAGAUUAUACUUUGAAGGUUAUAAAUAUAGUCUAUGCCUUGUAAUUUCGAGAAGUGUUAUGAUGGAAUAAAAUUUGGGUUCUGCAUUUUGACAGCAGUCAUGAUAUCUUUUUCCCCUCCCCUUCCCUGCCGUGUGCAUGGCAAAAUUUUCUUCCUAAAAGGUUCUAUCUUAUCUUUCCUCCCUCAUCAUUCCUGUUCUGUCUUCUCUAUUCUCUCUCAACUUUCCUUCCGAGUCUUCUAAAUUGUUUUUUCUAAUUUUCUGAAAAUUUCUGCAUUUCAGUCUUAAUAUAGAUUUUUGGCUCAUCAGUAGCAAGAUAGAUUUGGAUUUUUCUAAUUUGUCCUGCAUCUGUCUGCUUGCUGAAGUUUUUGUUGUGCAAAGCAAGCACAUUUUCUUCUAAUUGAAAAUUAGAAAUCUAACUUAUUUGCAUAUAGGCUUCAAAACAAAUUAGGAUGUCCAUAAUACUUGUGUUAAAUUUGUAUUGACUCUACACCUAUCCUUUUCUUCUUAGAAUGUGGUGAAGUGGAGGUAGGUAUCUCUCAUUCGAAGAAAAAAACCUGAAUAUACAUCAUUGUUUAAACUUUUUUUUCACUGUUAUAGUAUGGCUGUAAGCAUCUUGCAGGUUUGAUAAUGAUGUAUCCCCCUCCCACCAGUAUGUUACUGUUUAAUGAAGCUAGUUAAAAAAAAAGAUGUAAGUGUAGAAAGCCGCCAAGAAAAUAUAGCAAUUGGCAAAUUGUCCCCCUAAAAUGCAAACAUCCUUAUUUAAACCCCCUCAAUGUUUAGACUCGUAACACUUGAGACCGUCCCUUCACCUUUUCCAACUAGGAAUUGCUAGAAAUUAUUGUUAUGUGAUCGGAAUCCCCAUUAUACCUAUUUUAAAAAUUUCUACCUUUAGUAUUUUCUAGUAGUUCCUAAAUGGAAGAUGUAGCAGAAGAGAUGUACUAAUAGCCUGAAUAUUAAGGGGUAAAAUGUGUUUUCUACUUUCUACAGGAUAUAAUACAAAUUGCGAUAGUGUCAGGAGUAUUUAUUUUAGCCUUACAAAAAAUUAAAAAAUAUGCAAUUAAGUCAUGCAAAAAAGUGGCGGCUGCUUGAAAUUUGAAAAAAAUAAAGUGCCCGUAAGAAAGAGAAUAUAAUUGGACUGAAUUUCAAUGAUCAUAAUUGACAUUGUUUUCAUAGGAUGUCCAGGAUAAAGAGAGUGGAAAAGAGAUAUGUUUAGGUGAAAGAGCAACUGUACCACCUCGUUUGCUCAAUGAUCAUCUGAAAUUACUGUAAUAAUGUCAAGUAAAAUAUUCGAAAAUAUGUACAAGGAUUUUGUGUUGAAAGUUGUAGAAGUAGCCACAAUAACCAACAUAUAUUCUUGGGGAAAAUAUAGUUACUUGACUAGUAGACAUGGCACUAACAAUACUGAUCUGUUAUACUUGAAGGUAGUUGGAUUGUUCUAUGUCCUAAAGUUGUUUGAGCUUACCAGUAGCAACACGCAUAUUGCAUUAGCUCCAUAGUUGUGUGAACUGUUGUGUGGACAUGCUAGAUCCAUAUCCGAGUGGAGCCUCCACUGGUGAACAUCCAAUUAGGGAUGAGAAAUUUUUGUCUAUGAUGUAAGCCAAUUUGGUAUUCCAUAUUGAACUCAAUCUAUCUAAUUGAGCCGUCAAUUGAAUUUGUAUUUGGUCUAACUGAUUGAAGCUAAGCUUAUGAACUCUAGUUGAGUUUCAAUAGUGUAAAAUUGGGCAAAUUUAGGGAUGCAGUUCAACUUUUGUACUCUUGCAAAUUAUGUUGCUUGAAUUUGGUUAAUUCUGAUUAGAUCUAUUUGUAACUUCAAUUAUUUAAGCAUUAAGUCCUGUUAUUAAAGUGUUAAGGAAUCCCUAAAAUUGGGGAUCCAUAUUCAGGUUUGUUGUUAGGAUUUUACUUUAACAAGGCUGUAUGUGGCGAGAGGUAAGCAGUUUUGGUAUCUAUUUGGUGAAAAUUUUGAAGUUUUGGAACCUGUAUCCCUGUUCCUUCUACGUCAAAGUCGAUCACUGCUCAUUAAUUUUGUUCCUGUUCCAUCUCCUCCUCCCUCCAUACUCUUUGCCUUAUCCAGCAUUACCACAAUCCUACUUUAAGCUCCACCAUACACCUGUUUCGUUACCACCAUGUUGUACCAUCAAGGCCCGCCUCACUAGUAUUUGCCUUACAAGAAACCACGGUGGCCACCCAACAGUUAAGACUGCAUGUUGCUACCAACAAACCAAUCCGUGUACCUUUCCUGUGGCAUAUCUUCAAUCCUGGAAGUCUUUCCUUAGAUCGGCGCCAUUCUACGGACAAAUUAACCAGUGCUCCAUAUGCUCUGUGAAGCCACACUUGCUCCUUACUGCACUGCUGCCUGCCUCUACCGUUGCACAGCCUUGUCUGUAUUGUAGCCUAUCUUCUACUGCUGAAUUCCUCCGGCAAGCUGGACUAUCUGACUAUUGCCUCCUAGGGCCUGUUUGGCCAAGCUGUGGAAAAAAGUGCUGUUGAAGAAGUGCAGUAGGAAAGAGUGUAGUGCUGUAGAAAAAAAGCUAUAUAGUGUUUGGCUGAUCCUAUUCAUAAGUAUUGUUUACUACAGAAAGCUGUUUUGCAAAAAUUUUAUUAAAUUACUAUGAAAUGUAAAAAGAAGGUAAAAAUACAUGCAGAUUCCUCAACAGCAAAUAGUUUAAAAUCCAUUCUUGAGCUCUUUUUUCUUUUUAUCCACAUUUCCUCAAAGAAGGAAAUAAAAUUUAUUUUUAAACUUUCACUUUUUGUUGUUAAAAAAAAAAACCUGAAAACAAGGGCCACAAGCAAUUCAAUGUCCACUAUUGUAUUUUUUAUACAAAAAAUAUUGUUUAAAAAGCAAAAAUUGACAAUAAUGCUAAACAAAGCCUUAGCUUUAUUUUUUUAAUUGAGUUUUAAGUUUGCUAAAGUUGAAAAGUUUUUUAAGUUUAAUGGCUCUUUUAUCAAUAAGCUAUUGCUUAGUUUAGUUUUAUUUGAAAAAAUUUUAGUAAUAUUAAAAAAAAUAUUGUGAAAGAGAGAGUAGGGGUGGAAACGAGCCGAGCUUGAGCAAGCUUACCUCAGCUCAAGCUUGGCUUGAAAUUAGUUUCAAGCCUAAAUUUAGGCUCAAGCUCAGCUUGAAAUUAAUUCGAGCCUAGCUCAAGCAAGCCUGACUUCGAGUCGAGCGAGCUCAAGCCCUAAAUGAGCCGCUUGAAAUUCUUAAUAUCAUGCAAUUUAUAGUUUAAAUUUUUAUAAAAUAUUAUCUAAAUUUUGAUACAAAAAUAUGUCUAAUAGUUCAAUAUACAAAAUAAAUACAUGAAUUACGGUAUUAUAAUAUUAAGAAAAAUAAUUUAGGGGAAACGACUCUAGGAACAAGUGAGAGAGAGAGAGAAAGAGAGAGCAAUUAGAGUAGGAUUUUGCUAGUCUGGUUUUGUGGGUCAACUAAUAUGCCCAAUAACCUAAUCUAUAUAUGCAUAUAAUUAAAAUACAUAAUAUAUAUUAUUAUAUAUAAUUAAAAUUUAAGUGUGUGUGUGUGUAUAUAUAUAUAUAUAUAUUCGAGCUUUUCGAGCCUAAUUCGAGCUACCGAGCUGAAUGCGAGUCGAACACAAGCCGGGUCGCUCACUUGCCAGCCCUAAGAGAGAGAGAGAGUGUGAUGGGGGGAGAGAGAACUCCCAUGCACAAUAGAGGAGAAAAGGACGUUUUCCCUUGAUAUCUAUGAAAAGUGCGGGACAAGGAAGAAUUUGUUUACGGGCAAUCUUGGUAUUUUGGAAAAGAUGUUAAUGGGGAAAGUUGCGGCGCACUUUUUCCUAUUGCGGCAGAAGCUCCAACCUGGGAGUUCCUGCGGUAAAGCUUCGUACUGCAAGCUUUUACUUUUCUUAUCGCACUACGAGAAUCCCAAAAGGGAUAUUAGGGUGAAACACUGUUUGGCCUAGCAAAAAGCUAGGGUGAAAAGCUAGGCCAAACAGGCACUUAAUUUGCUUCCUUCAGUCGAUCCCCACACCACCCUCUUUCCCAUUAAGUUGACACCAUUGGAGGGUUGUUAAGAGGCCUGACAAACCCUUGGACAAGAUCCCUUCUCUCCCUUCACUUGUUAUUCCAACAUCUAGUGGACCCCACCCUUUUAGCUUGCUUGUCUCAUUGUGGCAAAGCCGCAUAGCUGCUCUCCUUAGCCUCAAUCUCUCUUAACUUUUGCAACCGGACCCACCUUUUAUCGGAUUGAAGUUACUCUAGCAUUAAAUUCCCCCAAAUUGCUUGAAAUUCUGAAAAGCUUUCACCUUGAGCUUUGAUUAAAAUAUGUAGUUUCCUCCAAACCAUAUGUUGCAUCAUUUAGUUAAGAUUUGUCUUUAAUUAGUAUUAGGCCCUUCGUUGUCUUAAUGGGGGAUUAAACAAUCUUUCAAUUUUUUCUUUUUCAUCAGAUUGUGGAUGAAAUUCCAUAUUAUUUUUUUGGAUAAUUGGUGAUUCUUAAAGAUGGUCGGACUAGUAUUAAAUAGGAAUAUUGGUUAGAUAAUUGGCAAUUAUGUCCAACACAUGCUAAAAGUUGGGACUGUCAACCGGUGGUGAGUACCAAGCCCCAAUCACACAGGAGUUUCGUGAUUGCAAAAGAGUUUCAAUCAUUUAAAAUAAGGUGUCUGAGAGCCCCAAUCAUGUAAAUUAAGGUAUGAUCAGAAAGGCGAAUCAUUGCAUUCUCCAAAGGAAAACUUGCAAGUGAUUUGACAUUUGGAGGCAUGCUCUUCCCCUUUAUAUCUCUUCAGCCUUUCUUCUCUCUCAGUUUUCAUUCUGAAAAUAAGAAUCUACCAUAGAAACUCAUACUACUUCAGAGAUAUAUUUUCUUCAGUUAGCUAUGCUUAGAAAAUCAAUUCUAAUAGCCUCUAAACUGUGGUGGUUUGAAUUUUUCAAGGUGUUGGAGGGAAUAAAUAUCAUGUAUUUUAACUCAAAAGAAAAAAUGCAUGUUAAUAUAUAUGUAAAUUAAAUUCAGACUUUAUAAUAUCAAGAGAUUGUGGCUUCUAAGAAAACAUGGCUGUGUUAAUGCAUAUUGAGCAGCUUUUUCUUUGUGUUAAGGCACUAAACAGUGUUUAUUUUUAUCUAAUUUGAGAUGUCUGCUCCCACUUGCCAACCAUGUAAAGUAUUAGCCCUAUAAUCUUGUUGUACUAGGCAAUAAUCUUGUUGUACUAGGCAUUGGGGUUGAUUUGCUAUGAAUUUAUUGUGUCUUUUAGAUUAGCAAUUACAUAGUGGGUUGAGGUCGUAGUAUAUCGAGUUUCUUCCUUUUCUAGUAUUCAUUCUUGAAGCGUAUCAAUUUUCUCACCAGCUUGUUUCAGGAAAAAAAGGCGGAACAGUAGUUCCAGACUUGUACUGGGUUAUACCAGCUUAUUUCAGAGACUCGAGAACUACUGUUCCCGGGUAUGAAAAUUUACGUUUGGGAACGAAGGGGGGAACAAUGGCUUAUUCCCCCCUGCUCUCGAACGAAACACUGCCUUAGAAUACAUAGUUUGUUGGAGAUCUUUUGAAUUAUCCAAGUAGUGAGUUUAGUCUAUGCAUGUUUUGGCAUUAGCAAUCAUACCUAAUAGCUAACAGAAUAGAAGGAUUGUUUGAAAACAGAAAAUUUACUUGUUAGAAUCCUACUGAUUAUUGCAAAUUACAAUAACUACUAAUGGGCAAAAAUUGGCCUUUUCUGGCAGCCUUGGCCAAUUUGGUAGUCAUUUUGGAGUUAUGUUUCUGUCGUCUUUUCAUGCUAGCACCCCCUUGCUACAAACAUCAACAUGAGAUACUAUGAGGCUGAAGCAGGCAAUCUGAAACUCAAAAGAACCAAAGUAGAAUAAUUGGGAAUGUGGAACGGAAUAAUUCUGAACGACUAGCAUCCGAGGUGACCCACUCCUGGCACCUGAGGUGGUCCAUUAUAUUUCUUAAUCAGACCCAGUAGUGUUAUUUAUUGCAAUGAGAGUGGUAUUAUUGAGAUAUUGAUUAGUGAAAACUUCGCCUCAACGAACAUGUUUGACACUAACCUACAAUAUGUCGGUUAAAUAAUUUAAUUUACAAUCAUCAAGUAGAACAUUUGAUUAGCUGUCUAUUUGCUAAUAGAUGCACAUGGAAAACUAAAAAGCUAAAAGAGUAUAGUUUAGUUCAACGAUUUUCCAUUUGUAUCCUGGAGCUGAAAAUUACCUGCGGCGUGAUGAUUUACAGGUCCGUCAAACUCUUGAAGGGCGAUUAGCUGUUGCAAGUGAAGAGAUAGCAUCUGCCGAGAAGGAAAAGCUCGAAAAGGAAGCAUUGGCAUGCGAGGCGCUCCAGGAACAGGAAGUUCUGAUGAAUGCUUUAGUGGAAGAGUCGAAGAAACUGCAGCAAGAAGCAGAGGAGAACACCAAGGUACUUGUACUUCAUAAAUGCUUUGUAUGCAUGGAAUACAUAUAUAUAUAUAUCUAUUGACUGUUAGUAAAUGGAAUGAAUCAGUUAGCAUGCCUAAUAGUAUAAUGUUGAUUUGGUACAGCUGAGGGACUUUCUUAUGGAACGCGGUCGUUUGGUUGAUUCAUUACAGUAAGUUUUCAUGUUGACUUCGCUUAUUUGAUGUGCAAAUGGAUAUCCAGGCCUACUGUAUCAUCUUAUUUCUAAACUGAAUUUGUAGAUGCUGUCCUUCAUGCUAAAAUUUUUAUUCAAAGAUUGUCUUCUUUGCUUCAUAAAUUUUUUCUACACGGUUGGAUUCUCCAUUGGUUAUCUUUCUAAUGUUCUCUACAAGGUUCUUUGUAUUUUCUCUUCAUUCUUCUUCAGUCCUGGAUGGACUUUUGGAACUUAAUAUAUAGUAUUUUAAUUCUCUUCAUUCUCAGAGGUGAGAUAGCAGUGAUGUGUGAGGAUGUCUUAUUACUAAAAGAAAGAGUAGAUGGACGCGUGCCGCUGAGUAAAUCACUACAAUUGAUGGCAUCCUCUUUGUCAUCUUCAUCGAGCUCAUCUUUUCGCAAUAGUAGAUGCUCAUCAGAUGGCGUUGUCCUGCCUGCCAUAUCAGCCGACAAGCAGGUACGGAUCGAUGAAGAGAGAUCCGUUUCACAGAAGCUUAAUAUUAGUGAAGAAAUAGAACCUGCGAAAACUGAUGGCAGCAUUCGCCGGAGCACUUCUGAGGAUGGGUGGGAGCUUUGUGAAGAGGGCUGGCUGAAUGGGAAGCCCUGAAACGACAUAUGAGAAUAACUUGAGGAAAUCUUAACGUGUUGCGUUGGGAUAUUACGUAGGAUAGAUUUUGGGACACAUCUGCGUAGAAUACCAUAACACUGGGCCUUCAACAACAUCAGAGACUGGAAGUUAUUGCUGCGUAUUUAGUUGAGCAUAUUCAGCUGUAAAUAAGAUGUCGACACAGUAGUUGAUCAUUGUGUGACCAUAGCUUUCCAUGUUAUGCAUAGUUUAACUUUGCAUGUUAUGCAUAAAUUUGAUGUAAUAGUUUACAGUUUUACUAGAGAUUAUGCCGUACUAAAUUCAAGGUAGAGUGACGUUUCCGGUAGUGGUAUGCACAAACUAGCCCAGUUAUUCUCAGUUGUUGUCGUUUGUUAUCUUAUGCUGUUAUCUUUUUAAUCUUGGUGUGGGAGGAUCAAGGCAUAAAAGAGUUGUCAUCUUUUCCUCUUUAUAAAACUGUUCGUAUUAUCUAAACGGCUAUUUAUCUAAACUGCAAGUAAGCAUGAUUAUUAAUGUGCCGCUGAAUAGUUUUUACUGAUGUUCUUAUAUUUUCUGAAUUUGCUAGGCUCAGAAAAUUAUCCUUCAAAUUCUACAGGAGCAAGAUAAUAUAAAAACUUCCUCUAUCACCGUCACAAAAUGUUGCUCUCCCACCCAAGAAUGAUGCCUAGUGUUCUAUGUAUUUCAUGAUAGCGUUGUAGUCGCUGCAAUAGUUGUUGUGGUGUUCAGGAGCAAGUGAUUUUGUUAAUUAAAAUAGUGCUUGUGAUCUUGGAGAUGGAAGCAACUCCCGUACGUAAUUAAUUAUACAUGCUUCCAUAUCAAUGACGUAUAUUAUUAGUUCACUCAUGUUCUCAUAUGGUCUCAUUAAAUAAGCUGUUUUUAUUGUUAGCUGCGAACUGCUAGGCCAGGACUCUUGGCUUCAGCAGGUAAGAGCACGCGCAAAAGCAGUUGACCAAAGGGGAACGAACGGUGGGAGGUCAGGAAGAAAAAAGAAGAAGAAUUUACCUACUCGUAGAAUAUGAAAAUAUUCAUCCGCAGUCAUGGAGUUCAUCAAUCAGUCAUGGAGCUCUCCGAUUUCUUCCGUCCAUAGAAAAUGUUUAGAAUACAGCAGUCAUAUUACUGAUUUCCUAUCCUCAACCAACAAAUAUUAUUAAUAUUUUAAUGCUAUUCAUAAUAUUGAUAAUAUUUUAAUGCUCUAUCAGAAUUUUAUCUAAUUUAUAAACUUCUACACUGUUAAAUUUGCUAACGGCACACAUCAACUGUUAAAAAUUCUUGAUUUUGAAUUCUUUCGAUCAAUAGAUAAAUAAUAGCAAAAAUCCUCAAAAAUUAAUUUCUAAAUAGUUUAAAUAUGUUAGAUCAAAUCUAACGGAGCCGAUCGUCGAUUCGAAAGCUCUAUCAUCGAAAACGGUUUAGCAGCAUGAAGGGCUCCGUGCUCCUAAUUAGCACACAAGUCCUAAUAUAGAGUUGCUAUGUUAUCGGAAGUAUAAAAGAGUUGGUGCUUUUGACUUUUUGGUCCUUGGAUCAAGGAUUGUAUGGUUAGAAUGAUAGCGGUCCUCCUUACGGUUAAGUGGUCCCCUAGGGUUAAGUGGUCCCCAUUGGAUAAUAAUAUAAAUCCAAUAGUUAAAAUGAUUAGAAGGGUUAAUUAAUUAAGGGCCAAAAUAUCGAAAGCACUAUCUCACUUGUGCUUCCGAUAGCAUAAUUCUUUGUUUCAAAUAGUUGUAAGUUGCCAAUUGGAUAGCAGUCUAUUGUCAGUUUCUUCCUGCAGUUCUGUAGAAAAGAAAGAGCUGGUCAGUGGCUGUGGUAGUGUUGGGUGUUGACUCUGGAUUAAUGGCCACUAGCAUCACUUUGCAAUAUGUGUUACCAACGAGAAUUUAGUUGUUUUUGGCACUAGUAAUAAUGAGAUACUGGUGUACGGUCGUAACAACAUGGAUACGAUGGUAGUGAUAAACUAGCAACGGCUGGGAUACUAUCGAUAGCACCAAGCGUUUGGUGCUAUCAACUUCUCCGCCGUUAGAUUUAACUCUUUAACUAUUUUCAUCCGUUAGAUUAUAUUAUUAAAUUAAUAUUUACUCAACCCUAGGAGACCCACAUCAUCUUAAUCGUACAUUUUUUCAUCUAAGGGCCAAAACACCAAUAGCUUAGUGCUAUUGAUAAUAUUCCAGCCUAGGUCUAUAUAUAUAUAUAUNGGUAGGUCCUUAAUUGGAAAUGGAAAUCGACACGGUGUCGAGUUUAUUAUGAUCACUACUAGUCAGAAAGUAGUAGUAGGAUUACUUGGACUUAUUUCUAGCAUAGUUGUGGACAUUUGGGUAUUCAUACAUACAUGUAGUAUGCUAGGAGAUGUUGUUCAUUGCAUCCUUAUAUGCAUCGUAGUCAUGACCAAGUGUUACUUUCAUAUCUGUAUAAAGUAAAGCAUGACAUUACUUGUGAACAUAUGUACCCAUGACAAAAUAAAGUCGCAUUAGGAAUGCCAUGUUUAAUUGCAAGUUGUAGCUUAGCAUCCUAAUUAUCAUGCUUUUUAAUAUGCAAUUUACUCGUUACUCUUAUUAUUGGACUUACCCCUUUUCUUUUGGGGCCUAGUGGUGCGAUGAGCUGAUGUCAGUAAUUGCCCACUGGGAACUAUAAAUUAUAGUUCUCACGCCCUCUUUUUCUCGAUGUUUUUCAGAGCCUUCCACUCAGGGUGAGGCCAGGGAUCGCGGGAAGGGAGUUGCUUCGAGCUAGCUUCCUUCGAGGACGAGUUGCUAGGUGGUCUACCUCUCGAUUUUUGUUUCCUUUUGCGAGAGGUUGAGAGUUCUACCAGUGUAUUAGAGACCACCGUUUUUGUACUUUUGAGACAGAUAUUAUACUACUUAUGACUUCUUCUAUUGUCUAACUUUACUUCUUUACCUCGGUGUAGAUGUUAGAACUUUACUCGCUCUGAUAUCAUUAGCUGCUCAUUAUUUCACUUCUUCUAUUUGUUCUAUUACUUGCUUUUACUUCCGCUUUUAUUGUAGACGCCUUAUAUGUGUAGACAUAUGGCGGGUCUGGGCACGCUACCGGGAGGGCCUCCGCCGGUCCCGGGGCGUGACAUCUCAUGUCACAAACCCUAAUCCUCAUGCAUUCUAGAUUUAAGUGUCAAGUCCAUAAUGCAACACAAUUAGACAUGUAUGCAAGGAAAUAGAAAUGCAACUAUACAUACAUCCUAUAAUGCAUAAGAAUAAUAUAUAUGAUCAACCAUUCUAACUCGGACAUAGAAAGAAGCUCAGUUGCUUCGGGAUGGACACCGCCCACCUUUUAAUGCUACCAAGAGAUUAGGGUUCCGAUUUCGUAAUUUUUGGAGGCUUUCGCCGCGAGCUACGGCAAUUUGUACCGAAACAGGCCUUUUCUCCUAUAUCUUCGCGUAGCCUCGUCGUAUCGCCGAACAGACUUCGCCAACGCGUCAGAAUACCUAUCAAUUUGGUUUGUAUAGGUUCAAUUUAGAUCAAAACCCCUCACAAGCAAAACCCCUCUUUUAAUGCCCUAAGAUGUAACUAUACAAGAAUUCAUCAUUUGAUCUUUAAAUUCGAGCAUCGAUCAUCUAUUUAGCAUCUAGGAGCUUCACUAAAUCCAUUUCUAGGGCAUACGAAUCAUUCCUUAGCAAUUCACCAUUAGAGGUUCAUGAAGCUUACCUCAAACACAAUUUUCCACUUAGACCAAGGAAGGAGAAGAUGAAGAUGGCUUCAACUCCAAGCUACUUUAAUCUCUUCCAAACUUGCUUCACCACCAAGCAACUCCAAUUUUUCUCCUACAAUCCUCUCUUUGGUAGAGAGAAAGAGAGAUCAUAAAGACAAAGAGAGAAAGAAGGAAACUUAGUGUCUCUCUCUCUCUCGGUUUGGGACAAAAAGGCAAAGGGUUCACACAUAUAUAUAUGCCCCCAAAACACUAUUCACUUCAGUUUGUAGCUCAGGUACAGAUAUUUUUCGCCUGCCUUUCUGAAUGUCCGUUUGAGCUCAAAUUUGGCAGUCAUGCUCGGUUUUACUUAACUUAACGAAAAAUUUUUUAAUCUUUCAGUUUCGACCCCGUUUGGUCACCGAAAACUCUACUGAACUGUAAUCUCUAGCAGAUAGCAUUUUGAUUUUAUUUUCCACCUUCCGGGUGUCAGAAUGAGGUGAAACUUUAAUUCUAGCCUCACAAAAAUAAUUCUGACAUAUCCUCCAGUUUUCAUAAUUUUCUGACACUGUACAUUUUCUGCUAAUUUAUCUGCCCCGUCUCUCACAGAAAAUUCUAAAUCUUCUGUUUUCGCUUCGAUUUCAGCACAGGUCAUUUUCAACUUAUACUUUACAUCCUUAAGUCCAAUAAAAAUAGUAUCUCACACUAUUUCUAUUUAUAUUUAAUUUUAUAUUAAAAAUCCAGCAUACUACAUCCACCGUAACUUCAUAAUUUUAGAAGUUCGAUACCUUACAGUAGGUCUCAUAUAAACUGAUCGGAAUCAGUAUCCCAUCCGAUGUGGGACUAUUGGGGCCGUUACAAACUCCCCCUGUUUAGACCCUGACGUCCUCGUCGGGUCCAAACCAGAUCACAGACAGACAGAUCAGGACCAUUACCAGGGGAUGUGAGAUUCUAGAGGUGGCUCCUACGGGUUCAAGAGGUGGCUCCCACCAAACACGUUGGUGUAGCACUUUGUCCCGCAUAGCACUUAGUUCUUACACUUUCGGCUGGUAUUCGUCUAUGAUACCAAUUGCAACGACCCGACCCACCAGCAAUAAUAACUCGUUGGGCCCAAACCACCGGCCCAAAAUGCUUAAGCCCAGUUAUUAUUACUAACGUAUAGGCCUCAUAUAAACUGAUCGAAAUCAGUAUCCCAUCCGAUGUGGGACUAUUGGGGCCGUUACAAACUCCCCCUGUUUAGACCCUGACGUCCUCGUCGGGUCCAAACCAGAUCACAGACAGACAGAUCAGGACCAUUACCAGGGGAUGUGAGAUUCUAGAGGUGGCUCCUACGGGUUCAAGAGGUGGCUCCCACCAAACACGUUGGUGUAGCACUUUGUCCCGCAUAGCACUUAGUUCUUACACUUUCGGCUGGUAUUCGUCUAUGAUACCAAUUGCAACGACCCGACCCACCAGCAAUAAUAACUCGUUGGGCCCAAACCACCGGCCCAAAAUGCUUAAGCCCAGUUAUUAUUACUAACGUAUAGGCCUCAUAUAAACUGAUCGAAAUCAGUAUCCCAUCCGAUGUGGGACUAUUGGGGCCGUUACAAACUCCCCCUGUUUAGACCCUGACGUCCUCGUCGGGUCCAAACCAGAUCACAGACAGACAGACCAGGACCAUUACCAGACGAUGUGAGAUUUUAGAGGUGGCUCCUAUGGGUUCAAGAGGUGGCCCCCACCAAACCUGUUGGUGUAGCACUUUAUCCCGCAUAGCACUUAGUUCUCGCACUUCCGGCUGGUAUUCGUCUCUGAUACCAAUUGUAACGACCCGACCCGCUAAAAACAAUAACUCGUUGGGCCCAAACCACCGUCCCAAAAUGCUUAAGCCCGGUUAUUAUUACUAGCGUGUAGGUCUCAUAUAAAUUGAUCGGAAUCAGUAUCCCAUCUGAUGUGGGACUAUUGGGGGCGUUACAAACUCCCCCUGUUUAGACCCUGACGUCCUCAUNUAUAUAUAUAUAUAUAUAUAUAUAUAUAUAUAUAUAUAUAUAUAUAUAUAUAUAUAUAUAUAUAUAUAUAUAUAAAAGAUGAAGAAUUAUAUUGCCAACGAAUCAUAUACAAAAAAAUAAAUAUUUUCCUCACUUCAAAAUUGGAUCAUAUAGGAGGCAUUAUGGUUAUACAUCACUUUUAAUUGACAUUUUCUUCCGCAAGAGGAGCGAAUUAUUUUCAUUAUUUAAAUAUAUAUGAAUCGAGUGUACAUGGUAAUUGCUACAAAAUUGAAGACUAAGUUGUUAAACGUGUUCUACAGUAUGCAAAAGAAAAACUCUUUUAAUUUUCGUCAGGUAAGCUGUUUAAUUAGUUAAACAUGUUCUAUAGUAUGGAAAAAAAAAAUUCUAUAUAUCAGUUAAAUAUUACAUAUUAAAUAUUAGAUAUCUAUAUAUAAAUUAAAUAUUAUAAAAAGUAAGUCCAAAUUUUUAAAAAAUAAUAUAUAUGUUUGAAAUUUACAAAACUCCAUUGCACGGCGUCUGCAUUAAUUGUUCCCACGGAUUCAAAGGUGGGAGUCAAUAAAGUGAACCAAGCUGUAACGACCCGACCCGUUAGCAAUAAUAACUCGUUGGGUCCAAACCACCGGCUCAAAAUGCUUAAAUCCGGUUAUUAUUACUAGCGUGUAGGUGUCACGCCCCGCCUAGAGACCGCUACCAAUUUGGUCCGGUUCGGGCGCGCCAGACGGACGCCGAACGGACAGCACCUCCCCUGUCAGCCAAGGCUCAACACAGGAUCAUGUACAAAGAAUUUACCCAGGGAUAAUUCAAUACAUACACGAUCCAACAAGGAGAGAAGCACAAAGAGUGCAAAACAGCAAGAGCAAGUAACACAAGUAUACAUACAAGUGCAUAAAGAGAGAUACAUCUAGCUAUUACAUCACAUUCCACUUUUAGAUCUUUGAUUACAUUUACAUUUUCAUCAUCACCAAAAUGAAUACAUAUUCCACUCACAUGCAUCUAGGUACAAUGUACUCUUCAAAAUACAACCACGUCACCUAUGUACACGAGGGUACUCUAGUACAAAAGGAAAGCCACAACUAGCUAGCUAGGGCGCUAUGCCCAUACCGCGAUCCUCCCCCGGAAUGCUCGCAUUCGGCCUUGCAACAAGAUGGGGUGAGAACUAUAUAAAUAUAGUUCCCAGUGGGUUCGGCUGCCGACUCCGCCGAUCUUCCUACUAAGUCUAAGUUGGUACAGAUAGAUAUAUAUAGAAAUGAAACUGCGUCUAUACUAUACUAUGCCAUCAAAUGCAAGCAAUGCAUGGAAUAUCAUCUAGCAACAAGCCUACUAUCAUGCUAGUAUGCUUCAACAAUGUAAUGAAUACGAAUACAAUAUAGUUAUGCAAUCCACUAUCAUAUACUAUGUUUAACCAUGGGAUGAAUAGAAAUCCACUUAUGCUAUUCAUGUCAUUACCCCAUCCACUAGUGUCACGCCCGGUACCAGCGGAAGCAUAUCCGGCACGUGCACAGACCCGCCAUAUACCUGCAGUAUAUAAGGCGUCUACAAGAACACAAGUCGAUAGGAGGAAAGUAUAGUAAGAUCCUAUCCUGAUAUCAGAGCAAAAUACAAGUCGAUAUACUAUCAGUAAAGGAACAAAGAGUAUACAAUCCAAAAUCUCAGCAAAAAGGAGAAAGUAUCACAACUAUAGAGUCUAAUCUCAACAAUACAUAUACAUCGCAGGGUAUACAAAAGGAAUAAGUACANCUAGAUCAUAGAUAGAUAGAUAUAAAGAUACAAAUAGACAGACAGACCAUGACCAGAAUUACCAGGUGAUGUGAGAUUCUAGAGGUGGCUUCUACAGGUUCAAAAGGUGGCUCCUACCAAACCCGUUGGUGUAGCACUUUGUCCCGCAUAGCACUUAGUUCUCACACUUCCGGCUGGUAUUCGUCUCUGAUACCAAUUGCAACGAACCGACCUGCCAGCAAUAAUAACUCGUUGGGCCCAAACCACCGGCCCAAAAUGCUUAAGCCCAGUUAUUAUUACUAAAGUAUAGGCAUCAUAUAAACUGAUCGGAAUCAGUAUCCCAUCCGAUGUGGGACUAUUGGGGCGUUACACAAGCGGUCACCGAGAUCAAACGAACUGAAGGACUCUUAACAUUACGAAGUGCUAGCGCAAACUGGAACAGUCCCUAAAGGAGGAAAUCCUAAUCAGUCGUCCGAUUUUUUCUCCCUGGCCUGCUCCGCAGGGCUAGAAAGGAUCAAGAAGAGGGUAGCGGUUAUCGCAAGAUCAUAAAGGCAGUAGACUAUAUCUAGAGAUCACCGUCUCCGAGCUCGCACCUUCGUUUGCGGGGACGGAGCCCUCCUACCCUGCAGUAUUGGCAAGAUCCUUCCUACCUUAUGGGAAGCAAAAAAGGACGCAUGGCCCACUGUCCCGUCCUUCCUCCAAGAAGCACAAAAUUUUGAUAGCUGUGGUGGUGAUGCAGCUCCAAAUAGUGGGUGCAGGAGUGAACAAGGAGAGCGUAUAAAUCCCAAAGCUGCAACCUGCUUCGGGAAGAAGGUUUGACACGGAGAGAGCGUUUGAAGAAAGCACAAUCUUUGACAAGUGUUUUCGCUCAGAUGCCUAAUCAUCGACAUAGAAGACAUAGGAGCACUUAACCUCCCGGCUCAAGAGUCAAGCCAAUAGCCAUCACAUGGCCCGCCGAAGCAUAGGAAGAUGAAGUUAUUGCGGAAGUGUGUACAACACUUAUUUGCUUAAAAUCCUAGUACUUAUCUGUGUAAAAUAAUGCAACUUAACGUGCACUGCAUUGACUUUAAUACCAUGCAAAUGUAUUUUGCCUUUCCUUUUAUAGUUGUCAGAAGAUCCCUCAUCUCUGUUACAAUUUAAGUUAGAUUUGUAGUUGAAUCCUAGUUGGAUUAUGAUAAAUAUUCUAAUUUGUUGAAGAUAAGUUAAUUAAGAUUUAGAUACUAAUUAGAGUAUGAAUCUAAUUGGACUACGAUUUAGGUAGCUUUUGGUAUAAGAUAUAAAUAUAGUACAGGUGCUAUUGUUUUUUGGGUAGUGCUACGGCUUAGGCGCACUCGCAUGGCAUGGCCAAGGUGUCCAUGAUUUUGGAUACAGCUAGUGCAUGGGUGCAAAAGGACAUGUGCAGCUUUCGUUGUAAGGUAUCAAAUCCUCGUAUUAAUGAUCCGCUUUUGGCCAAAGUGACCAAAGUGUGGCAAGAUGAAUACUUGGACAUAUUCCAUUUGACAUUCCAAAGAUGUUGGAAGGGUCAAAGUUGAGUUCUAAAAGAGUUAAUUGAGUUUUAGCAUUGCUCGGCACGAAGAGGAGUCAAACAAGUGCUAAAACUGAAGUCUGGGCAUCUUGUACCGGUACAACAUCAGGGUGGUACCGGUACCUCGUAGCUAGCCGAGAGUAGCUGCUCUCGGGUUGGUUUCUGCGUAGCUGUUGAACCGGCGACAGAUUGCCCGCGUACCGGUACCAACUGCAGAAAACUGCAGGUUUGGUCUGUUGCAAUUGGGAGUUGUUUGAGGGGCUUUUAUGUAAUCGUGACAGCUUAUAAAAGGGUCCCACCUCCCUCUCAUCUGUUCUCAGCCAGAGAACACUUUCUCACCCCUUUUCUUUCUCUUUCUCUCUCUAGAAGCUCUCUAAAGGGUUGGAGCUAGAGGAGGGAUCGGUGGAGAUUGAAGCUGGAGAUUGAAUCUUCAUCUUCUUCAUCCUCUUCUUCGCUGUUGGAGUGCGUUUUUGAGGUGAGCUUCAAAGAGCUUUAAUGGUAGAUUUCUAGGGUUGGGUUUUUAUACCUUAGGAAUGUUUUUAUUGAACCCUUAGGUGCUAAGUAGGUGAUUAUUGCUUGAAUCGCGAAGUUAUACGUCGGAUUCUUGCAAUAAUUCCGACUUAGGGUUCUAAAAUGGGUUUUAUAAAGUAGAGAUCCAAGGUUGGGAUUGAUCUCUUUUGUACCUAUUUGCUAUGUAGUUUGACGGGCUGGUGAAGACGGUUCGGUGAUCCGUCGAGCCUGCGCAAAGAUAUUGGCAAAAAGGGCGUUUCAGCUUCAUUUUCGCCUGGAGGGCCGAGGCGACGUCCUAAAAUAGCGAAAUUUGAACCCUCGCGUCUUGACAUCACCCAAAGGUGGGGGGUGUCAUCUCGAAGCAGUUGGGCUUCCUUUUAUGUCUAAGUCAUAUUGUCGAUCAUAUUUCAUAUGUUGUACUUAUGCAUUAUAGGAUGUUGUAUAGUUGCAUUUCUAUCUCUUCGCACGUUCCUUAGUAGUGUAGCAUUGUGAGCUUGACACCAGAAUCUAGGGUGCAUGAGGAUUAGAUUUGGUGACAUGAAAUCCUAUAGUGGCAAGAUAGGUGACAACUUGAACUUGAGACAAUAGUUGACAUGGAAUUAGUGUAGUAGAGGCACUAUAACAUGAACGAGUGGCAUAUAAACAACUUAGAACACUUACAAUAAAUGAUUUGAACGAGUGGCAUCGAAUCUAGUAUAGUGACACAUUAUGAUAUGAUUCUAGGGAUAGUAGAGUUUCCGAUUGUUGUAUUGUGCAUUUGGAAUCAGUGUGGUAAAAGCACUAUGACCCCUUGUAGAUAGGGUAUCCUCGAGUUGUGAGGAUUGUAUCAUACUCACUAGUUUGUUUACACUUGACGUGGUCGCUCCACCCAAGUAGUGGUCUCCGGAGUACUUCACGAUAGGGGCAGACGUAGUUGUCCCGCAGACGGUCUCUGUCACGCCCCGCUCCCCGCCAAUUUGGUCGGAUUCUGGUCACGUCAACAGACGUCGAACGGAUAGGGCCUUCCCUGCCCGCCCAAGACUCUAACAACAAGUAUAAUUAAGCAAUCAAUAUGGAGAUUUGCAAUUAUAUAAGGCUUGCACGAGGGCAAGCAACAACGGAAGCGAAAGCUCUAAGUUACAACAUACAACCAUACAUAAUAUUUGAUUACAUUUAAACCAAAUACUAGUAACUAAAACUAUUACAUCCAUUUUCAUUUCAUUCACAAUUCUUUUACAUCUUAAUCAUUCUCCCCAAAAAUACUUGAUUGUUUACAACUUUUACAUCACUUGAUCAACAAAAUGAAAGUUGAUACAUGAACCAAAAGGGGAAUGACUAAAUGCAUAUACUCCGGUGGCCACUAGCUAUGGCGCAAUACCCUUGCCUCGAUCCUCCGCCGCCCCGCUCGCACUCGGAUUUAUAGGGUUAGUGAUGUGAAAACUACAACAAAGUUCCCAGUGGGUUCAGCAACCGACCCCGUCGACUUACCUACUAGGUCUAUUUAAGCAUAAGUAUUUCAAAGAAAGGAAACAGUAACCAAUCCUAAUGCUAAUACUAUGCCUGCAAGAAAACCGUCAGUAGAUAUAUAAUCAAAUAAGAAUGAUUAUGCAUGCCUGCUUUUCCAUGAUUUCGCUUUGGCUUUUACCUAAUCUUACCGGUUAACCUUGUUAACCCUAAUAACUCACAACCCAAAAUUCCUUAAUAACGGGGGACUCGAACCUCCCUGGGGACCGUCUUUGGGGACCUCGCUCCCCGUGGUGACUAUUUCGGAACGCACCGCUUGAGGGGGAGCUACCUCCCUCAAGCCAAGACUUAUCUGAGUAUCGAUCUAAUCCUCAACUUGAGGACAUAUAGCCACUAGCCACAAUGCCACUUUAACAAUGAUAGGUCUCUACCUUAUCAUGCUUGCCACUCUCUAGGCUACUCUUGCCAUAAUGUCACUAUUGUUUAAACUAGGUUUAACAAUGUGUAUCUCGAUACCAAUCUUGUCUCUAUUGUUAAUAUCACCUUUGUUUACUAUUAUCUUAGUCCAGGUCUCACAUUCACACAAGUAUAGGAUUCCAACAUACAUGUCCACUAUGGUUAUAUCAAUCUCAAUGUUCAUCUAUGUUAGAAGCAUAUAAUUGAAGUUCAACCAAUAUUCACAUGUAAUUUACCCUAUCAUGCAUGAAUGACUAUUGAUAUAAUGCUCAAUAAAAAGGUGAAAUAGAUAUAGAAGGGAAUCCAACGAUUCCGGAAUGCACCCCCCACCUCGAAUAGUAGCGAAGAAGUUGGGGUUUGAUUCUCGGGAUUUUUAUAAACCUAUCCCACGUGCUACGACGAUCUGUACCAAAUUUUGAGCCAAAUUAGGCUUUUUACUAAGAACCAUCACAUAGUCUUUUCGUUUGGCCGAACCGAGCAUACGAACGCGUCGAAAAUACCCCUAAUUAGGUUUCCAUAAGGUCAAUUUACCUCGAAAACAAUCGGAGGCAAAAGUCCCAAAUUUCAUACCCUAACAAUGUCAUAUAUGGUUUUCUCCUAAAUUGAUCUUGUAACUAAGCAAAUACUAGCUUAGAAUCAUCUAGGAAGCUCUCUAAUACCAUUUCUAAGCCAUUCAAAUCAUUCCUAGGGCAUCUACUAUGAACCCUAGGUGACUACCAUGAGAGCACCUUAAGAAAACCAUGGAUUUCAUGUAUUCAAGGUCUCAACUAAGCUUCUAAACACGAGAGAAGGUCAAAACUCUAAGCUUUAGGGUGGAAACCCAAACCCUAGAAUUGUUCUUGCAUAAACUCACCUUAGCCCUAAGCUCCUCCCAAGUUCCACCUUGUUGGAGAGCUUCUAAAGCCUUCUAGACCUCUAAAAUAUCUCCUCCAAGCCUUCCAAGCCUUCUCCUCCUUGCUCUAGGGCAAGAUCUCUAGAGAGAGAAAGAGAGAAAUGAGAGGGGAGAGAGGGUUUGCUGUGUAAACAGGGAGAAAGGGGUGCGUUGGGUCAUUUAUAGGUUACAACAAUAGCAACCAAGCCCCUCAAAAACUCUUAUUUGCAACAGACCUUAUUGUUGCUUCCAGACCAAAGUGUACCGGUACACUUUAUCCUGUCACCGGUAACACGAUCGCGCAGAGGCAAACCCUAGAGCAACCUUCUAUUGGUCAGCCGUUUUGUACCGGUACAACAUUGAUGUUGUACCGGUACACUUUGCCCAGAAUGCAGUUUUUCGCAUUGUUUCGAUUCUACUUCGCACCGAACAACGCUAAAACCUUUCCAACUCUUUUAAACUCAUCUUUAACCUUUCCAACACUGUUGGAAUGCUAAAUGAAACUUGUCCAACUAUUUCUCUCGACAACUUUAACCAAUUUGGGUAAAGUUCGAUAAUCGCUCUUGAGGUUUCAAUAUGUUACAUUCUCUAUCCCUUAAAAUUAGUUUCGUCCGCGAAACUACUUAAUUGAAAUCUAGAUCCGUACCUCAAUUCAAUUUUUCAAAAAGAUGAGGAUGAUACUCUUUCAUCACGUCCUCAAGCUCCCAAGUAUCUUCCCGAUCGUCGUGGUUGCUCCAAUGGAUUUUAACAUACGAAAUUUCACGGUUCCGUAAUUUUCUCACUUCUCGAUCGACGAUGAAUGCCGGGAACUCCUCGUAAGUCAUAUCCCCUUGAAGCUCCAUCGACACAUAUGAGAGAAUAUGCUCCAGAUUAUGAACAUACUUGCGGAGAUUGGAUACCUGAAAUACAUCGUGCACUCCCGCGAGUCUCGAUGGUAAUGCUACUUUGUAAGCCAUCGCGCUGACUCGUUCCAAAACCUCAAAUGGUCCGACAUACCGGGGACUUAGCUUCCCCCGGACACCGAACCGUUUAACUCCACGCAUCGACGAUACCUUUAGAAAUACACGAUCUCCAACCGCGAACUCUAUAUCCUUUCUUCGCUUGUCGGCAUAACUCUUGUGCCAAGACUGCACCGUCGCAAGUCUUUGUAGGGCAAGACGAAUUUUCUCUUCCACCUCCCGAACCACCUCGGAGCCAGGAGCAAUUCUCUUGCCCACAUCGCUCCAAUGAAUUGGCGAGCGACAUUUCUUUCCAUAAAGGGCCUCGAAUGGCGUCAUCGCGAUGCUUUCCUGACAGCUAUUAUUAUACGCGAAUUCCGCCAUUGGUAAUGAUCGUGCCAUCCGCCCUUGUAGUCAAGUACAUAUGCUCGAAGCAUAUCCUCAGGUAUUUGAAUAGUCCUCUCCGAUUGACCGUCACUUUGAGGAUGAAAUACCGUACUAAAGUCGAGCCGUGUGCCUAAAGCAUCUUGUAAGCUCCUCCAAAAAUGUGAUGUGAACCUCGGGUCACGAUCCGAUACAAUUGACAUCGGAACCCCGUGAAGUCUCACAACCUCGUCGAGAUAUACUUGAGCUAGCUUGUCUCCCGACCAAGUAGUGUGGAUCGACAAAAAGUAUGCCGAUUUUGUCAACCAGUCCACAACUACCCAAAUCGCAUCAUAUCCACCUUGGGAUCUAGGCAAACCGGUCACAAAACCCAUUGUGAUAUUUUUCCAUUUCCAAACGGGUAUUGAUAGGCUUUGCAACUUCCCCGCCGGAAAUCGUCGUUCUGCCUUUACUUGUUGGCACGUGAGACAUUGUGCCACGAACUCCCCUAUGUCCUUUUUCAUGCCCGGCCAUCAAUAAUGUAGCUUCAAAUCUUGAUACAUUUUAGUGCCACCCGGGUGAAUGCUAUAGGGAGAUUGAUGCGCUUCAUGCAUAGUCGCCCUCCGAAGAUCAUCGUCCUUGGGUACACACCAACGAUUUCUGAAUCGUAGUGCGCCAUCGGUCCUAAUGCCAAAUUCAUCGGCACUCCCGCUCUCAACUUUACCCCGCACCUUUUGGAGAUAUUCAUCGGAACCUUGUAAUUAUUUAAUUUUCUCCAAUAAGGUUGGUUGCACAAUCAAUGUGGCGAGUGUUGCCGGCACUCCCGGCGCAACAACCUCAAGGCCAAACCGUUGCAUCUCCUUUUGCAAUGACGGUUGGGGUGUAAUUGCCGUCGCCAAAUUCUCCGCCGACUUUCUACUUAGAGCAUCGGCCACGACAUUAGCCUUCCCGAGGUGGUAUAGAAUAGUGACAUCAUAGUUCUUUAGCAACUCCAACCACCGCCGCUGUCGCAUAUUUAACACCUUCUGGGUGAACAAGUAUUUGAGACUCUUAUGGUUGGUGUAGAUCUCAUAAUGCUUACCGUACAAGUAAUGCCUCCACAACUUUAGCGCGAAGAUAACCGCCGCUAGCUCAAGGUUGUGAAUCGGGUAGUUCUUUUCAUAACUCUUCAAUUGGCGCGAACUCGGCCAUUUUGCAUCAAAAGACACCGAAGACCGAUAUAAGAAGCAUCACUGUACACUACAUAGCUCUCCCCCGGCGUCGGCAAGGCAAGCACCGGGGUCGAUGUCAACCUUUCCUUUAGCUCCUUGAAGCUCCGCUCACAUUCGGGGCUCCAAAUAUACUUCACCCCUUUGCGGGUAAGGCGCGUUAGUGGAGUAGUUAUUUUGGCAAACCCCUCCACGAACCGCCGGUAGUAGCUCGCAAGUCCAAGAAAGCUACGAAUUUUCAUUACACUUGUCGGGCGAGGCCAAUCUUUAAUUACCUCAACUUUCUUUGGGUCAAUCGAGAUGCCGUCACCGAAUAUAACGUGAUCCAAGAAAGUAACCUCCGAAAGCCAAAAUUCACAUUUCUUUAAUUUUGCAUAUAACUUUUCUUUUCGGAGUAUCUCCAACACGAUCCUCAAAUGCUCCUCGUGUUCUUUCUCGAUCCGAGAAUAUACCAAUACGUCGUCAAUGAAUACCACGACGCACUGGUCCAAUAAUGGUCGAAAGACCCGAUUCAUCAAGUCCAUAAAUGCUGCCGGGGCAUUAGUAAGCCCAAACGGCAUGACCGUGAACUCGUAGUGGCCAUACCGCGUACGGUACGCAGUUUUGUGCACAUCCUUAGGCUGUAUCUUCAACUAAUGAUACCCCGAUUGAAGAUCAAUUUUUUAAUAUACCCUUGACCCUUACAACUGAUCGAAUAAAUCGUCAAUCCUCGGCAACGGGUACUUGUUCUUGAUCGUCACCUUGUUCAACUCGCGAUAAUCAACGCAAAGUCGAAGCAUGCCAUCCUUUUUCUUUACAAAUAGCAUCGGAGCUCCCCACGGAGACACGCUCGGCCAUACAAAGUCUUUAUCGAGCAAGUUUUGUAAUUGAGCCUUCAACUCUUUAAGUUCCACCGGUGCCAUUCUAUACGGAGCCUUCGAAAUUGGCGCCACCCCGUGAAUCAAAUCAAUGACGAACUCGACUUCCCGGUUCGGUGGCAAUCCUGAUAACUCCGCCGGAAGCACAUCCGAAAAUUCGCACACCACUCGAAUGCUCCCCAAAUCUGGGUGCUCUUUUUGAGUAUCCACCAUUGUCGCCAAAUAGGCCACACAACCUCCUUUAAUCAUUUUUCUCGCCCUCGCCGCUGAGAUGGUCGCCGCGAAGCGCCUGCUUUUACACGCCCGGUAUACUAACUCGUCUUGAUUUGGCUCACGAAAUGUGAUCACCUUGCUUUUGCAAUCGAUAAUCGCGUAGUACUUGGAGAGCCAAUUGAUCUCCAAGAUGACAUCAAAGUCCUACAUUUGGUUUAGCACUAAUAGGUCUAUUGGCAUAAUCCAAUCACCGAUCUGUACUGGACAAGCCAAGCACUCGUCAUGAAUACGGAAUGAAUGCUCCGGUGUACUUACUAACCAAUAAUCCUCGUUAUGCGUGGUCUCUAUGUCAUGAAUUUUCGCAAAUGAUGCACCAAUGAAUGAAUGAGAUGCACCUGUGUCAAAUAAUGCUCUAGCUCUAGUGCCUCUUAUAAGGAUAAUACCUGCCACCACGUCAUCUGGUACCGCCGGCUGCUCCUCCACCUAAGUGGCAAAAACCCGCCUACUAGGUGCUCGAGGGGCCUCCGGCUGACGAAGCGCUGAUGAGCGUCCAGCAGACACAGCGGGUGGCAGUCCCGCCAGCUGUCGCGGAGUAUACUGGACUGAAGCUGACGAUGGAGUAGGUGAUGCACCGCCCGGGCACUCCCGACCUAAAUGACCCGGUUGGCCGCAUCGGUAACACCGCCUCUCCCGCUGAGUGCAAGCAGUAACCCUGUGGUCCCCGCCGCAAAUCACGCACGGGUAGGAAGUCUGGCUCUGUGUCUGACUCCUGCCUCUCCGCUAUUGUGAUGGCUGAGGUCGAGGGGGUCGCUUAGAACUCGACUGCCCCUUGGAUCUACUAGCCCUUUUCUUGGACUUAUCCCUUUUCUUGUCCUUCUCGAAUGCUUCGCACUCCUCUCGCGCGAUAGCAUUGCCGCGCUCUACCCAAAGAGCGCGAUCAAGUACCUCCUUAUAGGUCUUCAAGCGGAACGCAUGAAUAACCUUGAAUAUUUCGGGUCGCAACCCGCGCUCAAAAGCCUCUGCUCGGUCCCUAUCGCUGUGAACCAAGCUUGGCACGCAAUUGACUAGGUGCGUGAACUUCUUCUCGUACUCCCGCACCGACCGGCUCCCUUGCCUUAGCUUGCGAAAAUCCUCCUUGAUUUUCUGCUUAUCACUCUCGGAAAAAUACUCCAUCAAUAGCAUCUCCCGAAACGCCUCCCAAGUGAUGGAAGCGAGAUUCAACGAGUGACUCUUUUUCGCUUGAGUCCACCACAAUCGAGCCGACCUUUCAAAACAGUGAGCUGCUAGGUGAACUUUAUCCUUCUUGAGGGUGUAGAUGUCCUCGAACAACGCUUCCAUCUUGGCCAACCACGACUCCACCAACCACGGAUCCUUCACAUCGCCGUUGAAGGUCGGAGGGUUGAAUCGCUUGAAGGCCGUCAACACCGCCAAUGAUCGCUCAUUCUCGGCCUCAAGGACAUCGGGAAUAGGAGCCAAUGAACCCGAUGCCGUCGGGGGAAUAACCGUCACCGGUGCUGCCGCCGUCACUGGAGGUGGUGCCGCCGGUGCAGGCGAAUCUUGAGGUACAGGUGCAGCCGCCGCCGCCUGUUGAGCCACCAACUCAUGGAGCCGUCCAAUCUACUCCCCCUGUUGCCGCAUAGCCCCGGCCAAAUCCGCUACUUGGGUCCGCAGCUCGCGUACUUCAUCCGACCCCGUCUGCUUGGGCACCUCAGGAGGCAGUGCUAGCGCAGAUCGCGUACUAGGGCGUCCUCUUGGUGCCAUCACGCCCUGAAACGUAGCACAUAUAUUAGUGGUCGACACACUUGACACUUACACGUUCCAAUUAACUACCCAAUUAAGCGAAAACAAUCAAGUGUAAUUAUUCCCAACCCUUGGCAUUAUGUGGUCGGCCGCCCCACACAAUCCCUUAAGCAGAAAAUAAUUAAACACUUGAAUCCGUUCCAAUAAGGUCGGUCGAACCAAUAAGGUCGGUCGAACCACUAGUGCCGCCAAGAUAGUCGGAAUCUCCAGCGCCACCCUUUCCAAUCCAAACCGUUGCAUCUCUCUAUGCAAUGACGGUUGAUUAGUAAUCGCCGUAGCCAAGUUCUCAACAGAUUUCCUACUUAGCGCAUCGGCAACGACAUUAGCUUUCCCGGGGUGGUAUAGAAUAGUAAAGUCAUAAUCCUUCAACAGCUCCAACCACCGCCGCUGCCGCAUGUUUAACUCUUUCUGGGUGAACAAAUACUUGAGGCUCUUGUAAUCGGUAUAUACCUCACAAUCCUCACCAUAAAGAUAAUGCCUCCAUAGCUUUAGCGCGAAAAUGACCGCCGCUAACUCAAGAUCAUGUAUCGAGUAGUUCUUCAAAUAGCUUUUCAACUGGCGCGAAGCAUACGCAAUGACUCGCCCAUUCUGCAUAAGAACACACCCGAGACCACUAUAGGAAGCAUCACUAUACACCACGAAGCCCGCUCCCGACGUUGGCAACGCAAGUACUGGGGUAGACGUCAACUUCUCCUUCAACUCUUGGAAGCUUUGGUCGCAACCGUCGCUCCAUACAAACCUCACUCCCUUAUGCGUAAGACGUGUGAGAGGAGUAGUCAACUUCGUAAACCCCUCCACAAAACGCCGAUAGUAGCCCGCCAAUCCGAUGAAACUGCGGACUUUCGCCACACUCGUCAGAUGAGGCCAAUCUCUAAUCACAUCUUUAUUGGAUCCACCGAGACUCCGCUCUCAGAAAUCACAUGGCCUAAGAAGGUUACCUCCGAAAGCCAAAACUUACACUUCUUCAAUUUAGCAUAAAGCUUCUCGUCCCGGAGUAUUUGCAACACGGUUCUUAGAUGUUCCUCGUGCUCUUCUUCACUCCGCAAGUACACCAAUACGUCGUCGAAAAACACUACGACGCACUUGUCCAAUAGCGGUCGAAAGACCCGAUUUAUUAGGUCCAUGAAUGCUGCCGGGGCAUUCGUAAGCCCAAACGAUAUUACCGUAAACUCAUAGUGGCCGUACCACGUACGAUAAGUUGUUUUAUGCACAUCUUUCGGCCGGAUCUUCAACUGGUGAUAUCCUAACUGAAGGUCUAUCUUCGAAUAUACUCGCGACCCCUGCAACUGAUCAAACAGGUCAUCUAUUCUCGGUAACGGGUAUUUGUCCUUGAUCGUUACUUUAUUCAACUCGUGAUAAUCAACGCAGAGUCGAAGUGUACCGUCCUUCUUCUUCACAAACAGCACUGGAGCUCCCCAUGGUGACACGCUCGACCUCACAAAGCCUUUGUCGAGCAACUGGGCCUUUAACUCUUUAAGCUCCGCCGGUGCCAUUCUAUAUGGAGCCUUCGAGAUUGGCACCGCCCCGAGAAUCAAGUCAAUGACGAACUCGAUCUCCCGAUCCGGUGGCAAUCUCGGUAACUCCGCCGGAAACACGUUUGAAAAUUCACAUGCAACUCGGAUAUCUCCAAGUUCCAGAUGCUCCUUCUGAGCCUCUAUCAUUGUCGCCAAAUAGGCCACACAUCCGCCUUUGAUCAUCUUCCUCGCCCUCGCCGCCGACACAGUCGCCGCGAAACACGAGCUUGUGCACGCUUGGUACACCAACUCCUCUUGACUAGGCUCACGAAAAGUGAUCACCUUACUGUCGCAGUCAAUGCUGGCAUAGUACUUGGAGAGCCAAUUAACUCCCAAGAUGACAUCAAAUCCCCACAUCUGUUUCAACACUAGCAAUUUCGCCGGCAUAAUCCAUUCGCCGAUCUGACUGGACAAGCUAAGCAGUCCUUGUAAACUCUAAACGAAUGUUCUGGUGUGUUAACCCACCAAUAAUCAUGGUUAUGCACUAUUUCCAUGCCAUGAGUCUUAGCAAACGAUGCGCUAAUAAAUGAAUGUGAUGCCCCCGUGUCAAACAAUGCUCUUGCUCUAAUGCCACUAAUCAGAAAAAUACCUGCCACGACGUCGUCGAGUACGAUAGGCCGCUUCUCCACCUGAGUGGCGAAAACCCGUCCAGUCGGUGCACGUGAUCCUUCCGGCUAUCGCCGUGUUGAUGCGCGCCCAGCCGACAUAGCAGGUGGCAGUCCUGCAAGCUGUCGUGGAGCAUACUGAGUCGAAGCAGCUGACGGGGCAGGUGAUGCGCCGCCCGGGCAAUCCCAACUCAUGUGUCCCGCUUGGCCGCAUCGGAAACACCUCCCUUCACACUGAGAACAAUCAUUUGGCUUGUGAUUUUCGCCGCAGAUCACGCACGGGAAGGAAGUCAUCUAACUCCUUGACUAGCCUCUGCCUCCCCGCCACUGCGGUCCUGGGUACCGAGGGGGUCGCUUAGAACUCGACUGCCCCGCGGAACCACCAGCCGGUCGCUUCUUGGACUUCUCCUUGUCCUUCUCAAACGCCUCGCGUUCCCAACGCGCAAUGGUGUUGCCGCGCUCUACCCACAGCGCGCGAUCCAAUACAUCCUCGUCGGUCUUCAGCCGAAGCGCAUGAAUAAUCUUGAAUAUUUUCCGCCGCAAUCCGCGCUCGAAGACUUCCGCUCGGUCCCAGUCUCCAUGAACCAAGCCCGAAACACAAUCAACUAUGUGCAAGAACUCCCUUUCAUACUCCCGUACCGAUCGGUUUCCUUGCCUUAACUUGUGAAAGUCCUCCUUGAUCUUCCGCUUGUCGCUUUCUGGGAAGUACUCCGUAAGCAACAACUCCCGAAAUGCCUCCCAAGUCAUGGAAGCAGGAUCCAAAGAUUAAGUUCGUUCUUUACUCAUGUCCACCAUGCUCGAGCCGACCCCUCUAAACAAUGAGCCGCCAGGCAUACUUUAUUCUUCUUGAGGGUGUAGAUAUCCUCGAACAAUGCCUCCAUCGCUGAAAGCCACGCCUUCAUUAACCAAGGGUCCUUCACAUCACACUGGAACGUCGGAGGGUUAAACCGUUUAAAGGCCGUCAACAUCGCCAACAACCGCUCCUGCUCGACCUCAAGUACCUCCGGGAUAGGAGCGGAAGAUCCCGAAGCCGUCGGAGGAAUAGCUGUCACCGAUGCCGCCGCCACUGCAGGAGGUGGUGCUACAGGAGCAGCAGGUGCGGGAAGAUCCCUCGGCACAGAUGCCGCCGCCGCCGCCNGUACAGGUACAGGUGCAGCCGCCGCCGCCGCCGCCUGUCGAGCCACGAAGUCAUGAGCCGUCCUAUCUGCUUCCCUUGUUGUCGCAUAGCACCGGCCAAAGCCGCUACUUGAGCCCGCAACUCUCGAACUUCAUCAUAUCUAACUUGCUCGGGCACUUCAUCAGAUAAUGCCGGAGCGGAUCGACGCGUGUAACGUCUCGGGGACAUUAGAUCCUGAAAUGAAACACACACGUUAUUACUCGACGCGCGUAACUCUUACACGUUCCAAAUAACUACCCAAUUAAGCGAAAGCAAACAAGUGUCCUCAUUUUCAACUCUCGGCAUCAUGUAGUCGGCCGCCCACAUAACACUUCAAGAAGAAAACAAACAAUCCCUUGAAUCCAUCUCUAAGUCCUUUUAGAGAAGUUCUUUUCAUAACUCAAUCAAUUAGCUUCCGCAUUUUCGAGUCCAUGUCAAAUGUCUCCUAAGUCCUUAAGGUCUCCAAUCCUAAGGUCCCUAAGUCCAUCCUAGACUUUUGCUUUCACUUCGCUCUGAUACCACCAUAUCUGUCACACCCUGGGGUGGCCAAUUUGGUCUGUUCGGGCACGCGAACAGACGCCGAACGGACAGCACCUCCCUUAUCCGCCCAAGGCUCCAACAACAUGUAUAAUACAAGCAAUUCAACAACAUGAAUGUAAUUAUACAAGGUUUGCACGAGGGCAAACAACAACAAAUUCACACGUGAAAGCAUCGAAACUAACUAUACAUUUAUCCACAUACAUGUCAUCUGAUUACAUUUGAAUCAAACACAAGUAAACCAUUAUUUACAUUCAUUCACAUUUACAUCAUAUUUGCUUUUAACCAAGAUAACAGGUUUACAUCGUUUUACAUUACUAGUUCAACAUACAAAAGUUGAAGAUAUACAUAGGGUAUGCCUAUACUCCGAGGCCGCUAUCUAUGGUGCUAGCCCCUUGCCUCGAUCCUCCGCCACCCCGCUCGCGCACGGAUCUGCAGGGUUAGUGGUAAUGAGAACUAGAACGAAGUUCCCAGUGGGUUCGGCCACCGAUCGCGCCGACUCGCCUACUAUGUCUAUUCAGGCAUAUGUAUUUCAAGAAAUAUAGAUAACAAACCAUCUAAUGCCACUAAUACAAUGCCUGCAGGAAAGUAGUCAGCAGAUAGAUAGAUAAUCCAAUACAUGAUAAUUAUGCAUGCAUGUUCAUGUCUCACUCUCUUUGGCCUCUUUACCCAAUCAUCCCGGGGUACACAUGGUUCACCCCAAACUCACAAUCCACACAUCCCGUCUACCGGGGGAGGCACAUGGCUUUACCACCCGAGGGAUCUUCGCCGGGCACUCUCCCGUGGUGUCUACACUCCGAAGUACACCGCUUGAGGAGGAGCUACCUCCCUGAAGCCGGAACCAAUGUGUGAGUACGAUCCAAUCCUCAAUUUGAGGACGUAGCCAAACCUGUCUCAAUCACAAUAUCUCAAUGCCAAUAAUAGGUUACUACCAUAUCAUGCAUACCACUAUACCUAAAUCACAAUGGUCCUGAUGUCACAAUAAGCUAAACCUUGUUUAGUCAUUUACAUUCUCGGUGCCAAUCUGGUCACUAAUGUCAAUGUCACCUUUAUUUACUAUUGUCAUAGUCCGUUCUCGCAUUCACAUACACAUAGAGUUCUUUCAUACAUAGUUCACAUGGUUCUUUAUCAAUUCACAUAUUCUUUAAGCAUCUAAAUGCAUUUCAACUAAGAACAUAUAUCACACUACCCUACAUGCAUGAAUGCUAAUAUCAAUAUGCUCCAAAAAGGCAACAUAGACAUAGAGAGAAAUUCGGUGUUUCUGGACAGUACCCCCCACCUUUUGGUGAUGCUAAGAUGCAGUGGUUCAAUUUCCGUGAUUUUUAGACCUCUACGCCGCAAGCUGCGAGAUCUAUACCAAUUUAGCCCGUUUCUUCAAUUUCUCCGCACUCGCUCGUCGUAUCGCCGAACCGAGCGUACCAACGCGUUCGUUGACCUACUAAUUAGGUUAAAAUGAGAUCAAACCCAAGCUUCGACCUCAAAAUUCUAAAACCCUAACUUUAGGUCCUUGUACAUUCUUAUCUUCCCCAAACUAGUCCUUAUACAUGAAUAACAUGGGGGAAAUCCUCCAAUCAUCUCCUAGAAGCAUGCUAGAAGGAAAACAAACCCAAACCUAGCUUAAAUCCAUGGAACUCACCUUAGAGUCCAAAGCUUUCCUUGUACACUUGCACUCUUGCAAGCAACACCCUUGACUUGGUCUUCUUCUCCACCAAGAUCCCUCCUCAAAGCCUCCUUGCUCCAAACUCUAGAGAGAGAGGAAGAGAGAAGAGAGGUUUUAGAGAGAGAGAAUGUUCUCUUGUGUUGGGUAUGAGAGAAAUGAGCCCUAGCUCAAGCCUCAACCCAUACUUAACUAUUCACCAUGCCAUAUUUACACUUAAGUCCCUCUCAAAUCACUUAUUCACAUCAGCCCAAACUGGGCAGUUUUCGCAUGCGGGGUCCGGACCCUGAAGCUAAGGUCCGGACCCCGAGAGCAAUACCACUCCCAGUUAGCCCGCGAAGGGCAUUUUGCGCAUACGGGGUCCGGACCCUAGAGGGUUCGGACCCCGAGAGCAUGAUUUCUGGUACUUAGCCAAAUUUUCACAGGUUUGCUCUCAUGGGUCCAUAUACCCUAUACAAUGGCCCUAAUGAUCUUAGAACCCAUUGUAACUUAUUCCAACUUGACCGACUCCGCAUUCCGCUCGUUUCGACGGAACUCGGCACAUUUCUCGGGGAAGUGAUACGUUACAUGAAGUUAGUUUGUUAAGGGACUUAUUGUUUGAGAUUCCAUUUCUGGGAAAACUAAUAAUUCCAUCUAUGUUAAUAUACUAUGAUGUAAUAUUGCUAUUGGUGGAAUAAGAAAUUGUUAUUAUAACAGUAAAUUCAGAUCCGUGAGAAGAAAAUACGGUACUGUGAGAUCAUGUAUGAACAAUGGUAUUAUCAGUGUAGAUUAUAUUAAAUCUACUAAUAAUCUAGCAAAUCCAUUAACUAAGGCCUUGAGAAAAGAAAUGGUUUGGAGUACAUUGAGGGGAAUAGUGUUAAAGCCCACAUCAUGAACCAUAUAUGAGAAUACCCAACCCAUUGAUAAGAGAUUCUGAAAAUUGGGUUUAAUAAGAAAAAACGAAUCAUAUAGUGGUCAUAAAGAAUGCACAAUAUAUAGUUAUAUAUAUGAUCACAUAUUUACCUAUAUCUAUGGUGUGAGUGCAUUCAUCUUAUAAUAAAAAGAGGGUUGAGUUAUUACACUUUUAAUGAAAUCUGUGGCUCUUACAAGCAGAGUGUCAAGCACCCUUGACGGAUUUCAUCUAUGUGAGCAUGGAAGUGGGACUACUUCCUAUCUUAGUUAGUUAAUUUGCGAUUAAAACGCGAAUGAUAUGCGAAUUUUAAAAAUUACAUAUUAAACGGUCCGUUCUGUAUUUUCCGAAAAGUUCAAAAAAAAAUGCGAUUUCUUCCUAAAAAAAACUUGUUCGCGAAUUAUUCGCGAUUCGCGAAUGAUUCGACCAAAAAAACGGUGCUCGCGUUCGCGGAUUCACCGCCGAGGCUCGCAUCGUCGCCGUGCUUGUGGUCAUUGCUGCGCUCGUCGUCGCGGAUUCGUGGCCAAGGGUCGCGUCGUCGUCGCUCUCGUCGCCGAACUCGUCCGGGUUGUCCUCCUCCUCCUCCGCCGUCCUGGCCGGCACCGGGAGCAAGAGUCGCCGCGGCGGCGGAUGCCUUCUCGCGCUGUCCGCGGAAAAAUGUGGAAGAGAAACAGUAAAAAAAAUCGGGGCUUUUGAGCAGACUUUUGUGCGCGGUCCACGAGGCCACUUUGUGGCCUCGUGGACCGCAUGAGAGGGAGGUCAUAUANAUAUAUAAUUUUUUAUUUAUAAAUUUAUAAUUAUUUAUUAAUAUUUCUAAAUACAUAACUCUUAUAUAUUAUUAAUAUAUAUUUAUUAUAAUUUUGCAUAUAUUUAAUUUAUAUAAAAAAGCAUAAAAAUAAUAUAUAUAGUAUAUUAAUUAUUAUAUAUUUAUUAUAUAGCCGAAUUUUUGAUUCCGAAUUUUUAAUUAGUAAACGUAUAAUAUCCGUAUAAAUUACGUAUCCGAAUAAUUACCAAAUCCGUUUUUUAGCCGGAUUUUCAACGAAUUUAAAAGUUAAAAGACGAAUUUUAUCCGAAUUAUACCUGUACCGAAUUUUUGCCGAAUCCAAAUUAACUAACUAUGCUUCCUAUGAGAACAUGCUUUUUCUCAAAGAUGCUCAUGAAAGCCAGGAUUAGCACUAGGCCAUACAUGCUGCUAGUAAAGCUUAUGUCAAUACUUGGAUAGUUAUAUAUGAGCAAUGACACUAUUUUUCCUAAGCAGCCAAAGUCAAGUCUGAGACCAUUUUUACUUUAGAGUAGAGGCUAUUGUUCACUAAGUGAAGUGUCGCUAAAUUCGAAAUAGUUUAAAUUUUGUUUGUAAUAGCAAUUCUCAAAUAGCUAAGCGAAGAAGAUAAGGAGGAGAAAAGAAGAAAAGUGGAAUGAAAAUAAAGAAAAAGAAGGCAAGGAAGAAGACAUUUUCGGAAAAAACAGAGAAGAAGGCGUGAAAGAGAUGUCGAGAAGUGUAGUGUCCCGCAAAAUAUUUAAAUAUUAUUUUUUUAGAACCAUUACAGUCUGUGAUUUUGUCAACACGCCGAAAAGGUGUCUGGGUGAGUGGAAUUUGAAUUAGACCUGAAAUUGAUGUCAAAAUUAAAUCCAAAGCGCCAACCAAUUUCAGCUAAUGCAACUUUACUAAAGUGUGCCUAAGACACGCUACAUUUAGUCCCAACUACCCCAAAUAUUGUUGGCUGAGAAAUCCUUUCAAAGUUUUGUCAUUCUCUUCCUUGUCCCUAUAUUUAUUUUCUUCUCCCUCUUUUUCUCUGCUAUGAACUCCUUAUGCAGGCGCCAAGUUGCAGCCAGCAGCAUUGGAGCAACAACAAUAGUAUUUGGAGGAGAUCCUCACAGCAAUAGCAACAAUUGAAGAAUUGUAGGUUUCUCUCCCUUUUCUUCUUCUUUCUUCUUCUCCUUCACUAGUCCUUUUACCCCAAUCUUUCUUAUUCCUUGCAUAGGAAUCAAAUUGCUGUUGCUGUUGCCAGCAAGCUGAGAUUGCAGCGCAGCAACAACAGAUGUUUGUUGGGGGAGCCUUGCAGGAGGACAUUGUAUGACUGGGCCUGAUUGUUGACCCCCUCAUCUCCUCACCCUUUAUGUUUUCACCAAUUUCUCAGUUGCAUCCAGAGAAGAAGCUUCUAACUGAGCCAUACCUUCAGCUGCAGCAACAAGACUACCAGCAACCUUGUUGCAGCUUGGCAGCAAGACAAGUAGGAAGAGGGAAGCAAUUGGAUGAUCCUCUGAAGCUCCAAUUUCAAAAUUGAGCACUUGUGUUGUGUGGGGAAGUUGUGAACUAGCUUGCACCUUCCUUGAGCUAGAAUUGCAGGUUAUAACUCUAAUUUUAAAGUCAAUCAUAGAUGGUGCACAUGUUGAAUUGUUAGAUUGAAUUGAAUCGAUUUCGGAUUUUGAUAAAAUCCGUUUGAAUUUCUUCUAGGAGCGAAGCUUUGGAAGAGUUGGGAGUGAUCUUGACUUUAUCCUCUAGUGGUUAGAGUGUUGUUUGGAUAAAUUAAGAGGUAAGAUGAGUGAGAAUUUCAGUUUUCAUUGAGGUCAUAAAUCAAAAAAUAGUUUUUACGUUGAAGCUGAAUUCUUGACCUCUAUUUCUUAAUGUUAUUGGAAUUUGGCGGUGAAUUGUGAAUUUUUAUUGUAGUCUAGAAAUCAAAGAUUACUCAUGGAUUGCCCUCUAUUCUCAUUUUGUCCUAGAUUUUCUUGCGGAUCAAGGAAUUUGCAGCAUCAAGGUUGUUAGAUGUAUGCCUUAGAAGCCAACUAGGCUGACACAUGUAUUCUUUAUAGGACAUAAAUUUGUAUUUGAUUUUAAAAUAUUAUGAAUAAAUUUGGGUUCUUAUUUUCAUUCAUGUUGUGUAUGUGUCCAUGAGUCGUCCAAGAAAUUAAUAAGAUGAUGACAUAUAUUCUCAAGAGUUGAGAAUUUGAGACAUGUGUCAUUGGUGGUUAAUUCCUAAAUGCUCUUGAUCGAUGGAUCAUCACGGGGACGGUGAUUGAUCCGGUAAGAUUAGUGCAUGGGUCGCUACCCUUUUUGGAUAGACGAUCUCGAGUCGACAGUGUGGGGACACUGAAGCGAAUAUGUAGGUGGUUGUUAGAAAAUAAGGGACCGAGCGUGACCAAUGCGAGAAGUCACUUGGAUGUCUACUUACUCGUCAGUGACUUACUCAAUGUUGCAGUAGUGUGAAUGGUCCUUUGACCUGCAGUGCAUCGGUUAUUCACAAUGAGGUUACUGUAGUUUGAUUGUACAUAUACUUGGUCUCUAGCUAUUCGGGUUAUUGCGGUGUAUGUUGGCCGCAGUAGGUUUAUUGUAGGAAUAGGGUGUGCACUUAUAUGGAAUCUAUCUCCCUUGAUAGAUAGGGGCAAUAGUCCUAUGUUAUUUAUGAGACCGAGUUUAGAAGACCUUGGCCAGGGCAGAGUUAAUACCGAAAAAGAGUUUUCGAUAUUAGAAACUCAAGUCAAAUAAAUUUGACAUAUGACAGAUGAUAUGGUUUGACGAGUUAUUCCAUGACCUCCGCCUAGUCGGGAUUCAUGAUAGAAGGACUGUAUCACAUGGUAACUGCACCAAGAGAUUCAGUAUUUCAUUCUACUGACAUACCACUACAUGCUGCUAGAUGUCAUUGGUGGAUAGUGAGACUCGUGAGAAUUAUCUAGAUGAUCGAUAAUUCUCAUUGGGUUGAAUUGGAAUUAUUUCGAUCCACCGAAAGGAGUUUCAGUGAUAUUGUUGAAGUGAUCAAAAUAUAUCUCACUACCAGAUAGAAUAGAACCUAUGGGGUCACACACAUAAGAGGUUCUGACUGAUCGGAUAGUUAGAUCGCGAUUUUUGAGUCGCCGGAGGACAUAAUUGUCAAUAUGUUGCUAAUUGGAGUAAUUUGUAAUUAUUACAAAUUAAUAGUAUUAAAGUGUAAAUAUUACAAGAGAGAACUUACUAAUAGUUAGUAAAUUAUGAGAGGAUUUAUGUGCAAAUAUUGUAUUAUUAAUUUGAUAGGAUCAAAUUAAGAUAAAGUUCAAGUCGAAUCAAAUUAGGAUUUGAUCGAUCUAACCAAUUAAGAAAAGAAUAAAUUUAAAUCUAGAUUUGUANAAUUAAGUGAAACAGGAAUGUGUAACAUUGUAUAGCAUUACUCAGCACACUCCCCCACCAGAAAUUAAGAGGAGAAAAAGAUACUGGAGUGGUAUCAAAUUAGGAUUUGAUCGAUCUAACCAAUUAAGAAAAGAAUAAAUUUAAAUCUAGAUUUGUACUUAUCCUUAAUGGUCAUUAUAUUAUUAAAAAGAGGAUUAUAUCCCUCUAUAUAAUAUAUGGGAGUUUUUAGAAAACCCUAGUCGUCAUCUCUCUUCUCUUCUCUCUGAUUAUGUUUUGGUACUCAAAUUACCAUCAACAUCUGUUCGAAAUAGUUGGAAUGACGUUAUUUGUAAGGAAGUAAAUUCUCGAAAAACGAGAGUUGAACUUCGAUUGGAAUCAACUGAUUGUCGGUUAGGUAUGCUUCAAAAAGGCCGAAGGCGUCGAAAUACAAGAAGUGCAUUGUGGACGGCCUCGGAGGGCAAGUUGUGUAAACCUGCACAAUUGCAGAUUUUGCUCUCGGGGACCGAUCCUUGGUGGGAGGGACCGGUUCCCGUAAGCAUUGUGAGUGGCAGAAAAAUGCUACGCACAAAAGUUGCUAUCGGGGUCCGGUCUCUCAGGGGAAGGGGACAGGCCUCCCUAUGCGUAAAAUGGGUAGGGUGGCACUGCUCGCAAAGUUUGCUCUCGGGGACCGGUCCCCCUAGGGACAGACCGAUCCCCGUACCCGAAAAUGCCCAGGGCUGGGCUGUGCAUAACUUGCAAAGUUGAGGGGGGUUUUGGGUAAUUGUGCAUGUGUGGGGUUAAGUGGAGGGUAGCCUUUCUCUCUUCUCUCACUUUCCCUCAAACCAAACCUAAACCUAAGCCCUCCUUCUCUCUAAGCUCUCUUCCUCUCUCUCUAGAAGGUGAAGGAGGAGGAGUUGGUGGAGAUUAAGAUCAAGAGGAGGUUCUUCUUCUUCUUCUUCUUCCCCCUUGGCUAGGAGCAAGCUUGUAGAGGUAAGCUUCUAAGCUCAACCAUGGUAGAUCUCUAGGGUUUACAUUUUAUACUCUAGAAAUGAUUUGGUUGGAACUCUAGCAUGCCUAAUAGAUACUUAAUGCAUGAGUUUGGAGAUUUAGAGAUGGAUUCUUGCACGAUUGCAAGCUAGGGCUCCAAAAUGGGGUUUUGCUUUGUGGUAGGGUUUGAUCCAAAUUGAUCAUGUAUUAACCUAAUUGAUAGGCUUUCUGACACGUUGGCGAAGACGGUUCGGCAAUCCGUCGAGCUCGUGCAAAGUUAUUGGCAAAAAGAACCUUUCGAGCUUCGUUUCCGCCUGGGAGGCCGAGACGACGUCAUAAAAUCGCCAAAGCGCAUUCCUAGAGUUGUGACAACGCCAGAAGGUGGGUGGUGUCAUCCCGAAGCAACCAGGCUCCUCUUUAUGUCUUAAUGCAUUGUAAUCUUGCAUCUCUUACAUAUAUGCAUUGUAGGAUAAAUGUGCAUUGCCAUUUCCUUAUGCUUUCCUAGAUGAUAUCAUAGUGUGAGUUGAAUGCUUGAGUAUAGAUUGUCAAUUCCAAAGCUCUAUCAUCAAAAAUAAUUUAUGAGUACAAAAAGCUCUAUACUCAUAAGAGUAUAGUAGCCCUACUCUCUCUCUAUAUAUAUGGUAUAAAUUAUACACUUUCAAUUACAUAUAUUAUAGAGAUAGUUCACCUACGAGGCUAAGGCUACUAUACUCUUAUGAGUAUAGAGCACUUCGUACUCAUAAAUUAUUUUCAAUGAUGGAGCUUCCGAAUCGAUGAUCCUCUCUGUUACAUAUGAUUUAGAGUAUUUGAAACUUCUAGAAAAUAAAUUUCGUAAUUUUUUGAAAUCAUAAGAAAGUUCAUCAAGCGGGUAUAAAAUGAAUGGUCAAAAUAGAAUGAUGUCUUGAAAAUGGAUGAUCGGAUCCUUCAAUUUAAGAUCGGAGUUAUUGAUCUUUAUCUAUACAGUGAAUAGAAUUUUCUAUCAAAAAUUCAACUGAUUUCGAUUUUUUUACAACGUUAAACUAGCAAAUAUUCCAUACCGGCCGUUAAAAAUUGUCAAUUUUGUGACCUUUUGAUCAUAAGGUAAAUGAUGUCGAAAAAUUACAAAAUUUGAUUUCUAGACAUUUUAAAUGCUCUAGAUAACGUUUAACGGUAUGGAUCGUCGAUUCGGAAGCUCUAUCAUCAAAAACAACUUAUGAGUACGAGGGCGAUCGUACUCAUAAGAGUAUAGUAGUCGGACUCCACCUACAAUAUUAUUAAUAAAGAAUGGUGUUUACUAUCUUCCGAAGGGUUAGCAAGUUGUCAGUAAAUAUUAUUCAUUAGGAGCAUUGGCUGAAUUCUCUGUCUAUAUAUAGUGUAUUUAUAAAAUUAAAAAUUUGAAACUCUAUUCCUCCCAUGGUUCUCCUCUAAUUAGGAACUCUAUGAAGCUUGGGAUAAAUAAGGAGAGGAGAACACAUUUAAAAUUAACAGUGAAGCUAAACUUCAUAACUAUCAAAUGUUGAACUAAACAAAAACAAUCAAAUUUGAACUUAGAGGUUUAAAAAGGAAGUGGAGGGAAGACAAAAUUUCCAUUUCCUUCUAAAAUUUGAUUAUCUAAAACUAAUUUGUCCAAAAGUUUGUUAAUAAUUUAUAAAUACUGCAAAAUAAGAAUUUUGAAAUAUUAAAAUUGCGAAAUGAGUAGCCGUCAGUGAUUGUUAUCCGAAGCACUAUCGAGCAGGUUGAAGAUUCUACCCACUCUUCCCUCCCAGGAGAGGAAAAAAAAAAAAAAAAAAAAAAACUAGUACCCAUAUAAUACAAUCUCAAUUGACUAGCUUAUAGUUUAGCCUAUUUGUGUUUAAUAUAUCAGUAUUUCCCGUUUAAUUGUUAAUACAUUAAAACAUCUGUUAUGUGCAUGUUGAUUCAUUAAUACAUUAGUGCAUUCCUGUUAGAUCAUUAGCACUAACCAUAAUGCCGUAGCAGGAUGCUAGUCUACUUGCCAACGAUCACCCCCUCCGCCCUAGUGAUCUGUCCUGAUACGCUUUAUUGGAUCCUUGACGCUACUCAUGAUUUUAAAAAGCUGAGCUAAUGAAAGGUAUAGAUACAGCACCCACGAGUCUUAAUUGGGACUUUACUCACCCUAGCCUCCACCACGUAGGGAGGAUGCUAGCUUACUUCUUUACAAUACCUAAUUCAACUUUUGAAAAUGAAGGGAAGCAUCUGCAUUUCUCAUUCAUUGUGCUGCAGAUGUAUAUGAGUACAUACACUGUCAGAAACUCAGCUCAAAACUCAGCACUAGGACACACCGAACGAACUCAAGAGGAUACAAUAGUUAGGAAACAUAGCAGGUAAUAAUUAAUGCUUCCUGGAUUACACUGCACAAUUUGAAACGGAUUACUCAGAAAGUUUUCAUUUUAUUAACUGAUAACUUGUUUGAUUUAUAUGGGCUCUCUUUUCACCUCUUUGAUUGAAGAAUUUUGUAAUCCAAUAGCAUUCAAUCAUUUCAUAGAAUGUUCUUUAAGCCCACUAGAAAUUCUUUAAAUUUAACGGAAUUUUGAUGAAAUUUUUUAUAAUAAUUUAGAAAUCAAAAGGGAUACAUAAGACUAAAUCGUAAAAUAAAAAUUUUAAAGUUUAGGUACUCACUUCAUCACAUGCUAAUUAAGGUGGUCCAUACAUUUUUUUACUCCAAAAAGCUUGAGCUUCCAACCGCUAGUACUGUUUAUAAGCGAUCACUUUGAUAAACACAUAUGAUAAGUUCAACUCUACAUUUUUACAUGGAAAAAAAAAAAAAAAAAAAAAAAAAGAAGAGCUUCCAAAUGCUAAUACUGUUCAUAAGCAGCAGACACUUCGAUAUUGAGUUGGUACUAUUACAGAAGAUACAAAAUAAGCACAUGGAAAGUAGAGCAUUACCUUACAAUAACACAAAAAUAAAAAUAAUCACAUAGACAGAGGGCACAGUGAAAAUGACUCUGGUAUCUCACAAGCAAAAGUAAACCUGAAGACUUUUAUAUUUCACCAAGAGCUUUCUGUAUGUCUUUCUGCAAAGAUAAGUGAAAUAAGAACAUAAACAAACAUAAAAGUCCGAACAAAGCAGAAUUUCCAAAAGGAGAGGAAAGAAAGGGUAAAUUGAACCAUUAGCUCCUGGACAUUUACAAAAGUUUCACUUUGACCCAUAUUCUUUUAAAUUGAAUUUAGAGCCGCCCAAACUUCAAUAAAUGUACUAAGUUGGCGCAAUCCAUCUGACGUUGAGUUGACUGAAAGAUGAUAUGAUUAGAAACAUCGGAAAAAUUUGUGCCGAAAGGUUUAAAACUACAAAGGUUUUCUGCUCUUAACGGCAGCUAACAAAAUGGCCCCAUCUUUUAAAACAAUAUGUGCUAAUUUGCCUUUUGGUAGUGCAUACUUUGGUUCAACAAAACAUUUACCGUUAGACUGAUAAAUGGAAGAUGAGGAAUGGGCCAAUUUGAUAGCCAUGAAAGUUCGGAGGCAAUAAGUUUACUUCAAAACAGAAGGGGAGAAAGUGGAAACUUUCACAAAGUUUGUAGGCUAGCAGAGCAAUCUACCCAGAAGAAAAAAAGGUAGAGAUAUGAACCUCGAUAGACAAUGGGGGUGUUGAUGUCCCGUAUCUGGCGAUAACUUUUCCGUCCUUAUCAACAAGAAAUUUAGUGAAGUUCCACUUAAUCCUCGAUCCAAAGAGACCAGAUUUGCUUGCCUUCAAAAAUUUAUAAACAGGUACAGCAUCCGGACCAUUUACUCGAACCUGCGCAUGGUAAGGGAUAAAAUUUAACAGAACGUAAAGCUAGCAUAGCUGAAAUGAAAGAAUUAACAGAGUGGAAACACUACGGAAGUUUAUUGAUGGCUCUGACAUACAAUUCCAUGCACAUUGCCUGUUUAUUUACAUGUAAAUUAAAGUAUUUCUAACCAAAAAAAAAAAAAAACCAAUAUAGCAGCAUGAACAGCAGUCCUGCACCAAAUGUCCCAUAUGUUUUGUCUACCGACCAAGUUUGGUGCAUUAAUAAUACUACCAAACGGGAUAACAGAUGUGUAAGCAUAGACGUACCGGUAAACAUGCUAUUUGCAAGUUAAUGCACAUAAAAAAAAUACCAUGCAGUGGAACCUAAACUUAAGAUUUGUAUCACAUGACCACAAGGUUCAUAUCUCCCUACCAAAAUUUGUAAGUUUGUGGAGAGCCAUUACGCCUAAAGGGUAAAACAAUUCUCCAAAAUUCAUUUUGCACAGUGAUAUUUCUCAGCUGCAUUCUUGCGUAUGAACUCAUAUUCUGGUUUCAAGUCUUGAUGGGAUACAACAAAUCCGAGUAGUAUGGAAGUCUUAGCUUCAUCAUUUUGUAAGGGCCAAUCUAUGGUUACAACUAACGACCAGAACCUUCUUACAUAGAUCGCUACCAUGCAACCAGGUGUUACAAGUUUGACCCACAGAAGAAAAACAAGAAAAAUGGAAAAAAAUGAAACUUCCAAUAAUGAGCUAAUGCUGUGUUAUCUUGUCAUCUAUAAAGCUGACAUGGCAGGAGCAUGAAGAAUAGAAACUCUUGCCAGUUAAGCAACCAAAAAAAACAUAAGAUAGAAUGCCAAUUUACAUCACUAAUUUCUGAACCAAAUUGCGCAAUAAAGUAUGUUAUGAAUCUUAUGAUUUAAAGUGCCAGACCUACCCAUUGAACAUCACAAUACCAAAUCUAGGUUAGUUUAUCCCCAUCAGAGUUCUGCGUUACAACUAUGAAUAUGAACAACACAAAAUGAUGCAGUAUCGACUUCCACACUAUGAAAUUCCAUUACAGGCUUCCGUACGAACCCCUUUACCAUUGUAUAUUUUUCUUCUCAUGCUCCAAAUUUGGAACAUGCAUGUUCCUAGAUGGCCCACUAUACAAAGGAGAUGUUCAAAUUUUUCCGAACCUCAAGAACAACUCUUGAACAUCCGGUAUGCUUUUUCUUCCCUAUUUGAGAACCAAAGUUAUCUUUCCGUUUUCUCUUUUUCAGUUUUCCUCUAAAGGGAAAAGACAAAAGCGACAAUAGCUUUCCUUACAGCCAUUCAAACAGGAUUUUUCAUUGUUACCAUUUCUAAUCAUAUUUGAUCACAUUGAGAAUCAAAGUUAUUAACUUUUUGUACAUUUAUUUAGUUGCUCGGAUCAACACCAUGAGUUUGAUACCGGCAAUAUUUUGACUGCGUGGGUGAAGAAAGAAUGCAUCAAAUCAAAUAUACGUCAACAGGAAGUGAGCAAAUUUUAUUGUCUUACAUGUAAAGAAUAUAAUUAAUACAUGUUUGCAUUAGUUUUAUGACUUAAAUCAGGAGAUUUGUAUAGGAUUUAACUCCGCCACUCUAUGACAAAUCAUGAGUCUAAAUCUCAAGGUUGUCCAAAUCCCUAACAAAAACUGAAAGUUCUCAAUGAGAUAUCAAAUCACCACCCUGAUACAACCAAGGUUUUAAGUGCCCGUCGGCACGGGCCGUAUCCACCGUGCCGUACCGUGCCAACAAGAUACCGGCACGAUACAGACCCCGUGCCGAUGGCACCGCUCAAAACCCUCUAUUUUUUAAAUUAGUAAGUGAUUUUCUCAAUAAAGUUCAAAAGAUGUGAUAAAAAGACAUAAUAAAUAGUUAGAAUAUUUGUUGCUAAAGAAAAUAAAUAUUUCAUGCUAUUAUGUGUCGGCACACAAAAAAUUUUUUGACCAGCACGCAUCGACACGGCUCGGCACCGUGCCAUACCGUGCCGGCAAGUUUCCGGCACGACCCCGUGCCACGGCACUUAAAUCCUUGGUUCAUACAACACCUUCUCUUUGUAUCAAAAAUUUUAGGAUAGCUGAUUUGCAUUAAAAAUCACAAGAAUCUCACAGAAUACUGAAUACUUUCUCAUGAUCUUCUCAAUAACAAACAUUAAACGAGUUUAUAAAGCGAAAAACAGUUGGCGUCCUCCAUUAAGAGAAAUAAAAUUAAGUCCACUAUGUUAGACUGAUAGGAGCGAACUAAUGAAAAUUCUGACAAAACAAGUUGGUAUUGUUUAAACAUUUCAAAACUCUAAAAAGAAAGAAAACGAUAUAGUCAAAAAGGACUAACGGAAGAGCCAAAUGUAUUUUCCUUUCUAAGAAUGCAUCAACUACUGUUUUGGAGGACAAAAACAUCAGAUGUUGGAUUUCAAAUUUCAUCUAAAAACAGCUAUUCAGGAAAAUAAACUACAGAGCUGUUGCCUUACACUUCUUUCUUCAUUUCAGAAUUUCUUAUUUGGUGUUACACAGACAAAGAUAAACAAAGACAAAUUUCAUACCUUCUGGAAAAUCGGAUACUCAGCCUUAAAUCUUGUGCAAGCGAACUCUUUGAUCUCCUGGCUCGUACCAGGCUCCUGAUGCAGGAACUGAUUGCAUGGAAAUGCCAAAAUCUCAAAAUCUGAUUAUUUAGAAACAAAAUUAAUUAGCUUCCAUCAAGUUGUUAGAGUGAGACAAUAAAUGAAGCAGCAUAAAAUAUGACUCAGCAGAGCAGGAAAAAGAAGAAUCUAAUAUUCAAAAUAAAUAAAUCCAUGAACUUCUUUACAAAACAAUAACCUCAAUAGUAGCUGGGAAAAGAAACAUAUCAGCAUGUUCUCAUUUUAAAAACAGAGAGCAUAUUCAGGCUAGCAUCUAGUCACGGAAAAUACUCAAGGUGUAAUUUCUCUUGCUCUCGGUGCAAUUGUUAAGCCUCUUCGUCUCCUUGAAGAGGCGGCAAAUGCAUAGGGGCCAUUGGACGAAGAGUAAUGAGUCUGAAUUGUCUUGCCCCAUAGGAGGGAGAAUAAUGGGGCAGAAUUGUAGCCAUACUUUAGCAAUAGUCCACAUGAGUUGAUCCCAAGGUAUGAUAAUCACAGGACUUACUUUCAAGAAACAAAUAUUACCAAAGAAGUUAUCAUUCGGAACAGUAUUUUUUGAUAAAUAAGAACAACCCACCCCCCACCCCCAGGCGACAGAAAGAAAAAAGAAAAAAAAAAAAGAAGAGCAUUUACUGACUUGAGAGACAAAAUAUUGCACUCGGGAGAUCCGUGCUGAGAGAAGUAGUUAGCAUCAACCCCACUAGCUGCAAUUAUUGUAUCACAGAGGAAGGUAAAAUGCAUAUUUUUUAAAAAAUUUUCGGAGUUUUGUGCGCAACGUGAUAUGUCCAAUGGGGCAAAUGCAAGAAGCGAUAAAUCAAUUUGAAUAAAAAAGGCAGAAUCCUGAUAACUAUUUCUCAAAUAGAAGAUAGAUUACCAACUAAAUACCAAAUUCUACAUUAUCUUGCAGUAGUAAUUGGAUUGGGAAAGCAAUCCAAAGAAUGGUCACUAUAUUUACAAGAAACCUUCAAACACAAUCAUAAAAGGAAUUUGGAAUCCUAUAAAUAGCAGAAAACAGAUACCAACCUUUGUUCUUGUACUUGCUGUAGAGUUCUGUCAACUGCGUGUAGUUGCUAUCUGUGAAACCACUGUUACACAAUUCAUUUUAAGGAGAAGAAGCGAAAAAAAUUAGGAGGUAAAUAGGGAAAGAUAUGCUGGACUUUCUAAUGUUUGGUCCUAGCCACCUAACUUUAAGAACUUACCCACCAAAAAAAAAAAAAGAACUUAAAAUCUUUUCAAUCAGCCACCUGAUUCCAAAUUUGAUAAAUUUCUCUUAAUAAUUAUGAGUUACAUACAAAGCAAAUAACUCAAAUACCUAGAGGUGAAAACGGUCGAAUAUGGUCGGAUUUUUGACAAAACCAUAUCCGCAUCCAUAUUUUCCAAAUUCGAUGCGGAUAUGUCGAACGCUAAAUUUUCAUUACCAUAUCCGCUAAAAAAGGAUUCGGAUUCAGAUGAGACUCGGAUAUAUAUUCGGAUAUUGUUAGGAUAAUAACAUAUACUGAUAUGAAUAUAUAAAUAUAAAGUAGAAUUAGCGCGAAUAAAACACAUAAUGCAAUUAAAAGUUCACAUUUGGUGUUCAAACUUCGUAUACCUAUAUUUUAUUCAUUAAGAUUUAAUAUUUAACAAACAUAAAUACAACUUUAACCUAAAGCUCAUAAUAAAAUAAACGAAGAACACAAUAAAAAAAUCACUUUAUCCUCCUACAAUAUAUAUUAAUUAAUAUCCCUCUUAUCUCCUACAGGUGAGAACGGUCGAAUACGGUCGAAUUUUUUAUGAAACCAUACUUUGCAUCCAUAUCAUUUUCUUCUUCUUUCUUUUUUUUGGAUAUGAUCUGGGAUAUGAACAAUUGAACAUGUGUUGAAUCCUAAAAUAUUUAGGUCCAUAUUCGCAUCCUAUCUACGGAGUUUAUCCUAACCACCCUCACCCCUACAAAUACCCCUACAUUUAUCUUGGUAUUCAAAAAUAAUAAGAGUAAAUAUAAACUUUUCAAAGGUGAAAUCACUUGUCACAAGUCAUAAUUAAUAACAGAAAUUUUUAAUUAAAAAAAAAGUUUACUUUUUAAACUAAAGAGUGAUCAAGUGGUAACCGAACCAAAUUCCCAAAUUAAAGAGAAGAGAGUAUUACCAUUUGGAAGCAACAUUUACAACGAGAAGAACCUUCCCCUUGUAAACCCCCAAAUCAACCUCCUUGCCGCUGCUAUCCUGCAACAACAACAACAAAACAAAAAAAGCACACAAUCCUUAAUUAUUAUUAUCAUUAUUAUUAUUAUUAUUAUUCAAAAUAACUUAACCUAUUUAAUCCAACAAAAAGAAACAAAAAUAUAUAUAUAUAUACAAAAAGAAAAAGGAAAAAUAAGAAAGAAGGAAAGACGGGUGAAAUUACUUUGACUGUGAAUUGAUGGAUGGAAGUCUCCUUGGGCGACGACUGCGAGGCUCCCAUCUCUCCACUUCCUCUGAUUUUCUCCCUUGCUUACUUUCCCUCUCUCUCUCUCUUCCGAUCGAGCUGUCGCUCGAAAGGGGCACGUUCUACUGCCCCGGUAUAUACGGCCCAGGAGGGGCUGAUGCGGUGUGAUCCAGCGUAUCAUUGCGCGACAGUUUUAAUAUACAUAUACUAUUCUACGCAAUCGGAUCCAACGGAUUCAAAGUGAUUUUUUUAGUUUUUUUUUUUUUUUUUUUUUUUUUCUCCGACCCUCCUCCAUUAUCUCCGCGACCUUUUUCGACAGCAGCAAGGCGGCCCGCCUUCUCUUCCUCUGCUUUUUUUUUAAUUUUUUUUUUCUCUCCAACUUCCCUCCAUUGUCUUCGCAGUCUUCUGCGAAGGUAACGACGACAGCGCCGCCUCCUCUUCUGAUACCAGUGCCGGAGGAGAAGGAUUCAAAGCGAGUAUGGAUAAGAGCGGAACGAACAGAGGCGAUGAAGUCGUGGCCGGGACAGUGCUCGCUGUUGCUCGUGAGGGUGAGAAUGAAAAUGUGCCCACGCUUCUCUAAAAAGCGCUUCGAGCAAGGGCAGUGACUGCCAUAGAGGGCGAGGGAGAGGUUGUGACAACAAAAAAAAUUAUAGAGAAGAGAAAAAUCAUAAUAAUUAAAGAUAAAAAUAAAAAAAUAUUUUAUUUAUAAGAAAAACUAAAAAUUAUAUAAGAAGGAAGAAAAAGAUGAAAUUACACUAUUAAAAUAAAGUUACAUUAUUUUAAAAAAAUUUUGCACUGUUUUAUAUAAAAGUUGCACUUUUUGAGACAAAAAUUAUAUUCUUUGAUAUGAGAGUUACACUCUUUAGGCAAAAAUUAUACUCUUUUGAUAAAAUUUACAUUAAUUUUCUUUCUUUUCCUCUUCUUUCUCAUCCUCCUUCCCAUCUGCUUUCUUGUACUUUUUAUAUGCCAAUCCUGGGUUGGUAACGUGCGCGGUGGAGGCGGAGAAGAGCACGAUGACACUAGAGAAGAGGUUGGCGGAGGCAGAGGUAGUGGCGGCGGCCCGCCUCGGCUCCAUCCUGCAGGGGGUGUGCAGCUACGGGCGAGGACUCCCCUCCUCACUUCUGUCCCCAUCAAUGCCACCACCUCGCCUCCACACUCCACCGCUUCGCCACUACCUCGCCUUCACGAGUCAAUAGGGGCGGAAGCGAAGCGGGAGGUGCGCGGGCGAGGGUAAGAAGUGCCGGCGGGACGUGUGCCGUGCUCUUUCCCGUGCACCCCUUGCAAGAGAGAGACAAGGCGGGGAGUCCUUGCCCAUGUCUGCGCACCCACCGCCCGCGCACCUCUUACGGGGCGAAGGCAUUGCAGGCCACCGCCACCUCUGUCUUCGCCGCUCUAUUCUUUGACGUCACUGUGCUCUUCUCCGCCUUCACUGUGCACGUCGUCGGCCCAGAAUGGACGUAUAAAAAGUACGAGAAAGCGGAGGGGAAGGAAGAGAAGGAAGAAGAGGAAGAGAAAAAGAAAUUGUGUAAAUUUUACUCAAAGAGUGCAAUUUUUGUCUAAAGAGUGUAACUCUUAUCUCAAAUAGUAUUAAUUUUGUCUCAAAGAGUACAACUAUUAUAUAAAACAGUGCAAUUUUUUUUUAAAAUAAUGUAAUUUUAUUUUAACUGUGCAAUUUCAUCUUCUUCUUUCUUCUUCUAUGAUUUUUGGUCUUUCCAGUAGGAAAAAAAAAAAAAAUUUAUUUUUAUCUUUUAUCAUUCUAAUUUUUUUUUUCCCUCUACAACUAUUUUUAUUAUCACAGCCUCUCCCUCGCCCUCUAUCGCAGCCACCGCCCUUGCUAGAAGCGCUCUUUGGAGAAACACGGACAUGUUUUCAUUCUUACCCUCACGAGCAAUAGCGAGCACUAUCUCGGCCACGUACGGCUUCAUCGCCUCCGUUCGUUCCGCUCUCGUCUGCACUCACUUUGAAUUCUUCUCUUCCGGCACCGGCAUCGAAGAGGAGGCGGCGCCGCCGUUGUUACCAUUGCAAAGACCGCAGAGGUGACGGAGUAGAGUCGGAGUGAAAAAAAGAACGUAAAAGAAAGAAGUGGAGGAAGAGAAGGCGAGCAGCCCUGUUGCCGUCGAGAAAGGUGGCGGAGGUGGUGGAGGAGGGUCGGAGAGAAAAGAAAAAAACGAAAAAAGAAGAGAGACAAAAGAGAAUAAGGGUAUUUUGGUUAGUGUUCUGAAAAUUCAGCCCGAAUUUGCAAAAUUGAAAAACAUGGCCCNAAAUUUUGAUAGAAAAUUCUUUAUACCAUAUAAAACAAGAUCAAUAACUUUGAUCUAAAAUUUUAGUGUCAUAUCAUCAUAUUUUGUAAGAUUUUUAUUUUCAGCCGUUGAUUUUAAGCCACUUUGAUCACUAGGCAAAUGAUAUCAAAAAUUGCAAAAUUUAUUUUCUAGAUAUUUCAAAUACUCUAGAUCAAGUAUAACGGAGCCGAUCGUCGAUUCGAAAGUCCGAACAUCGAAAACAAAGUGAAAGCACGGAGCCCGGGCUCCCAUAAGCAUCCUAAUCGCACUAUAUAUAUAUAUAUAUAUAUAUAUAUAUAUAUAUAUAUAAUACUAUUAAUAGUACCAAUCACUUGCUAUUAGGUUUUCGGCCUUUGGAUGAAGAGAUGUGCGGCUAGAAUGAUAGUGAUCCCCUAGGGUUGAGUGAGUGGUUUGUUAAAUAAUAUAAUCUAACGGCACAAAAUUCGAUAACACCAAAUAUUUAGUAUAUCGAAAAUAUAGUAGCCGGACUCUCUCUCUCUCUCUCUAUAUAUAUAUAGUUCGGCUACCAUACUAUACAUACUAUCCAUAGUACUAAGCGCUUUGUACUAUUGAGUUUUCUGCCGUUAGAUCUACCUAUAUAUAUAGAGUCCGGCUAUUAUACUAUUGAUAGUACCAAACAUUUAAUGCUAUCAAGUUUUCUACUGUUAGAUCUAUCCCUUUGGCCAUUUUCAUUCGUUAGAUCAUUCUAUUCAACUAGUCACCCACUCAACCCUAGAGGGCUACCAUCAUCCUGACCGCACAUCCCUUCAUCCAAGGGCCAAAACCCUAAUAACAAGCAGUUUGUACUAUUAAUAGUAUAGUAACCCAAUUCUAUAUAUAUAGGCUCGGCUACCAUACUCUUAUAAAUAUAGACUCUUUUGUACUUAUAAAUUUUCAGCCGUUGAUGUGCGAUUAGAAUGAUAGUGGUCCCCUAAGAUUGAGUGGGUGGUUCGUUGAAUAGUAAGAUUUAAUAGAUGGAAAUGGAGAAAAGAAUAGAUCUAACUUAUGAGUAUAAAGAAGUUUAUACUCAUAAAAAUAUAUAUAGUAGCCAAACACUCUCUCUCUCUCUCCCUAUAUAUAUAUAUAUAUAUAUAUAAUAUAUAUUUUAAUUAUAUAAAAUAAUAUAUAUUAUAUUUUAAAAAUAUAUAUAUAUAUAAUUUAGAUUAUUGCGCCCACAAAAACAAACCAGUAAAAUUCUACUCUAAUUGCUCUCUUUCUCUCUUUUUCACUUCCUCACAGAGACGCUUUUUCUAAUUUUUUUAGUAUUAUAAUAUCGUAUUUCAUGUCUUCAUUUUGUAUGUUAAACUAUUAGAUAUUUUUUAUAUCAAAUUUUAACUAAUGUUUUAUAAAAAUUAAAUUAUAGAUUGCACGAUGUUAAGAAUUUCAAACAGCUCGUUUAGGGCUCGAGCUCGCUCGACUCGAAGUUAGGCUCGCUCAAGCUCGGCUCGAAUUAAUUUCAAACCAAGCUUGAGCCUAAAUUUAAGCUCGAAAUUAAUUUCAAGCCAAGCUUGAGCUGAGGUAAGCUCGCUCGAGCUCGGCUCGUGUCCCCCCUAAUAAUAGAUUGCAUUACGGGUCGGAUUGGUGGAACCAGUCGGUCUGAUUCGAUUUUUAAAUUAUUAAUUUUAUUUAAUAUUAGAACGAAAAAAAUAGAAAAAAUUAAUUCUUUAUACCUUUAAUGACUAUUUUUAAUUUUUAGUGGGAAAACUUCAAAAACCCCUCCUGUGGUUUCGCACUUUCUCACUUUAGUACCCUGUGGUUUAAAAUGUAUCAAUUUGUCCCCCUGUGGUUUUGUUUUUAUCUUUACUAUAGCUUUUUUCUUAAUAUUUCGUUAAAUUAUAUACAAAAAACUUCAGAUACCCAUCUAGAUUUACCGAAUAUUUACUUUAAUACCCUUUAAUUUUAGUUUUGUCACUAAUUUAAGAAAAAAAAAUAAAAUUGAUAAAAAAAAGAGAAAAACAAAACCACAGGAGAGCAAAUUGAUACACUUUAAACCACAUAGUACUAAAGUGAGAAAGUGCGAAACCACAGGGGGUUUUUUUUGAAGUUAUUCCUAAAUUAAAUGAACACUAAUAUUCACGUACUAUUAGAAAGUUUUGUAUUUGCUUUUUGUUUCGAAUAUAUAAAAACACGUAAAACUGAUCUCAAUUAUUGCCCAUUUGAAUUUAGCUAUCUAAGUUCUAAAAUUUUCGAUUUUAUCAUCUGAUUUUUUUUAUUUAUUUGAUUUGAGCCAAUUGGUGACUCUUCAAUUUUAAAAUUUAAAUACGGUCGUUUAUCUCUACGGAUUUAAUUAGUAUAUUUUACAUAAUUAAAGUAACUGUAACUUAUAUAAAAGCAAGCACAUUAGUUUAAAUUCUAUAUCCGGUGAGCCGUCAAAUUAAUUAAAUUAAAUAAAUUAAAAGAUUAUGUAUUAAAAUCAAAAUUUCGAAAAGUUGAGUAGCCGAAUCAAAAUGCUUAAUAGUUUACCAUUCGAAUAUAUCCUUAUGUUUUCAGCUAAGUUCAUUUUCGUAUGAUUCAUUUCUUAAAAACAGAAGCAAAACAGCUAGCACACUACUUUUCUCUCAAAAAUAUUUCUUUCUAGUCCUUAGGUUAGUUCCAAACUUUGACAAACUUUCAGGCUAAAAUAGUAUGAAUAUGAGACCAAUUGACCAAUGGGCAAAUGAUACUGCAAAAUCAUAAAUUUCGAUUUAUAUAAGAUUCAAAUAGUAUUAAUUAUAUUUUAGUGCCGAUCGUUCAAUUUCGGUGUGUUCUGCCUAAACUAAUAGAGUAAGUAAACAAUCUCAUUUAAUUCUAAAAGCAUUUUAACUCGUAUUUGAAUCAGGCCAACUGGAUCUUGCCGUACAAAAAAAAUGUAAGGGUGACAUCGAAGACAGCAUAACAUGAUUGAGAACAUGACAAAAGGAAAUAUUAUUUGCUUUACAUGUGGCCUUUGUGUGUGAGUUGUGUGUGGGGGUGUUGCCACUUGCCAGUCAAAUUGGAUUUAGAUUAGGUAAAGCACAACCCUAAACUGAUCCUGUUUGGCAACCUAACUUUCCAAUUAAGCGUGGUCAAAGGUAACCAAUUUUAUCCUUCUAGAAUGUCCUGCUUAAGGCUUACAUUUGUGGCUCCAAAAGAUCUGAAUAUUACAAAUUUAAAUUUGGGCAAAAAUAUAGCCUUAAUUACACUCUGCUAUACUUGUGUUUUUCCCCCCCCUCAAAAACACCAUUAUAUUAUUACUACUAUUAUUAUUAUUAUUAUUAUUCAAAUCCACUAUUAAUUGUACUAGUGUAGGCCCCCGCUUCGCGGCGGGAAAUUUAUACAAUUUAUUUAAAAUUAAAAAUUUUUAACACCUAUUUGUUUAAAUCCUAAAAUUUGAAAUUAACAUUUUGAACAUUUAAAUUUUAAAAAUGCAUUUUAUCUUAAUUCAAUUUGUAUAUUUUGAAUAUAUUAUUUUAGUUAGAGUUUUGUUGAUUCCUAAUCUUUCCAAUUCUAAACUUUUAUAUGCAUCGAAUAACUCGCUGUAAUUUUAAAUUUUGAGGAAUUCAGUAAGGUAAUUUGACAUUCCAUGAUAUAUUUAGUAAAUUAAUAUAUAUAAUUUUUAAAAUUUUAAAUUUUAUAAUUUGAAUAUAAAAUUUAAAAUCUACAAUUCAGAAACUAAAAUGUAAAAUUUAAAACAGGAAAAUUUUAAAAUUUAGUUUUAGUAAUUAAGGAAAAAUAUACAAUUUUAAAUUUUAAGUUUUAAAUUUUAAAUUUCAAAAUCUAAUAUUUUAAAUAUUAAAUUAUAAAUUAAAUUAAAAAAAUUCAAUUGUUAAAUUUUAAAUGGUGAAAUUUCAAUUUCAAAUGUUAAAAUUUAAAAUUUAAGCUUCGACAUUUUAUAGUAACCGCAAUUUUGCAAAAGGUAGAACUAAAAAUCCAUCAAAAACUAAUAGUAAGAACGAAACAUCAAUAGUUGCAUAACAACAAUAUGAUAUAUAUAUCAGAAGUACUUGAUUCAGUGAUACCUUGUAAUAUGAAAUUAACCAGCGAAUCGAUCUACAUGAAGAAGUCCUAAUUUAUAUCAUAAAACUUGAAUAGAACUAUAAUAAGAAUUGUUUUAGAUAUUUGUACAUAAUUUAGAUGGAUUACAAGCAUUUACUUACAGAUUCACCACUUGCAUUCAUAAAAGUUUGAGGUUUGACAAGCAUGACGGGAGAAUCACCAAAACGGCCUGCAUAAAAAUCGCAAAAAUUUUAAAUGUAUUUUUCCAAAAAAAUUAAAAUGUAAAAUUGAGUGGACAAUUCAAAUAUAAAACUAAAUUUUGAUUUGAUUCAAAUUUAAACUUAUAAUCAAUUUAAAAUUUUAAUUUAUAUAUCAAAUUUAGAAUGCUUGAUUGAAUUUAUAUUUUAAUUCAAUUUCUAAUUCAAAAUCUAUAAUUACAAAUUAAAUAUCUAAAUUUAAAUACCUUAAAUUAAAGUCAAAAUUAAAUUAAAAUUAAAAAAAACUCUAAAAUCCUCUUCUCUAUAUGUAAAGAGAAGAUGUAUUUCUUUCUAUCUAGUAUUAUUUUUCUCUCACAGUAUUAUUAAACUGUUUUUUUUGGUUGCCAACCUCUACAUUACUAUUAAUAAAUCUAUUAUUUCUGAUAAAUAUAAACCUUUAUUAAGAGAUACUGCAUAAAUAGUAGAAAAAUAAAAAAUAAAUUUUCAUGAUAAACUUAUUGAAGUUUCUAACAAGUUAUUUUUAAUUUUUUUGAAAUGAGUAGAAUAUAUGCUCUGCCAUUUUUAACUAAACUUUUUAACAAUUUUUAUAUAAAAUUAUGGUUUUGUUGCUAUAAUGUAGGGAUUGAAAAAAAAAAUAGUAAGUGGUGUCUUUUUUGAGGGAGAAAAAAAAAAAGUACACUACAAAGUAAACAGACUAUCUAUAACUAUAUAUUAUUCCUCAAUAACUGCACACGUGUCGGGAGUUAAGGCCGCGGGCGCGGGCGCGGGGCGCGGGCGACCGCGGGCGCUAGCGUGUCAUGCCCCGGGGUCCCUUUUAGUUUGAAACACAGCGGAAAAGCAUCUAAAUUUUAUUUUAAAAACCUGACCCCAGGGUAUGCCAGAUCCGCCACGAAUACAGAAAAUUCACUGUUCACACGGGCACAGUCUCCCCUGUAUUUGCACGGCGUCGUACAAGUACAACAGUACAAACAGGAUACAACCACAACUAAAUGAAUAUAGAGAUAACUAUACAUUCAUACAUUCACCAUUCACAUCACAGAUUUACAUUCAAUGUCUAACAUAAAUCCACAAAAAGCCUUUUGAAAUCUGUUCCCUUCACGGAAAUUUUUAUUUUUUAAAAACGCCACCACGAGGGGUAGAAAACCUUUUGUUUACGAAAACCAUGAAUCUUUUUUAUUACUUUUACAAAGCCAAAUCCAAAUAUAAUAAUUAACUGAAAUACCAAAAACUGAACAAUGAUAUGUCUAAGUUAUACCAACAGAAAUAAAAAGGAUGACGACUAAACCGAACAAACCGGGUCGGAAGCUCUAACGACCGCUACGAACGUGUCUCACAUCUCGUCUCACCCUCACCGCCCGCAAUACCUAAAAAAU
Molecule: long non-coding RNA, 86515 nt
Filed under: Ananas comosus (pineapple)
Lineage: Eukaryota; Viridiplantae; Streptophyta; Magnoliopsida; Poales; Bromeliaceae
Description: long non-coding RNA (ACOM_LNC026770)
Source: RNAcentral